UUGUCACGCCCCGGGACCCAGCGGGAGCCCGCCCGGCGCGUGCCCAGACCCGCCAUAUGUCUACAACAUAUAAGGCGUCUAAAAACAACAAUAAUAACAGCAAUAAUAAAAGACAUCUAGAAGUAUCAGAGCAUAAUAAAUGUCUAAAUGCUACCACAAGGGAUAAGGAUAAAACAGUAAAUCCACUAAAUAAAACAUAGAGUAAGAACAAUAGGAAAUCCCAAAUACAAGAGCUAUAAGUAGGUACAUAGGUGGUCUCUAUACAUGGAUACAAAAUCUCUCACUCUCUCUCAACUACAAAAAGAAAGAGUAAACCACCUAGGCAAAGUACCGCUCCUCGCUAGCUAGCUAAGCGAUCCCCUUGCCGCGAUCCCGUGCCUCCGCCGGUGCCGAAGGCUCUGAAAAGUAAACCAACAAAACGGGGGCAUGAGAACUAUUAAAAAUAGUGCCAUGGGCAAUUACUGACUUAGUGAAUGCACCACAAAGGCCCAGCAGCUACAGAAGAGUUAGUGACCAAAAUGAGAAAAGCGAAAGGUAAGUAAAAUGUAAACUUACUAGCUAGCAAUUAAAUCUCUACUUGCCUAAAUAGCAUAAGUUACGAACAGCCAUUCAUGAAGUUAACAGUCUCCAACUAUCAUAAUGUCCACAAUCGAAAUAGUAAAAGUUCCGUUGUUUUACUACUUCUAGUUCAAUGUCAAAUAAUACUCUAAGGUCAUUCAUACUAUCCACAUGUCGUAACGGAAUAUAAGUCCAAUCUGGAAAGACUACCCACGCCGAAGGCUGUUCUAUGGCCCUGAGACCACCCGAGCUGUCUGGGCCGGUGCCCGGAGCCUAAAUGGCCUCCGUGUAGUCAUCAUCCGCUAAAAUGCUAGGAAUGAGCCUGGCCCACGUCAAUGCCACUUCGGCGUCCCAUUCCCGCACGGGCGAAUAUGAUCUGGCAUGGCCCAUCUCCGGAGUCCGGCUUGUAGGAGCGACCCUCACAAGCAAGUGCGAAGAGCACACCCUGGCAAAGUAGUCAAGACGAUCAGUCGCAAGUAUCUAAUCCUCAAUGUCGCAAUAACAUGGAUAUAUAGUAAAAUGUCCUCGUGGCCAAGUCACUAUUUCAUCAUAUCUCAAAUAUGGAAUAUAGUUGAUGUCAUGUGCCCUAUUCUCAAGUCUCUAGUUGCAGUUAAGUAAUUCCUAGUCCAAGUUCCCUUCUUUAUGACACUAUGGCUCAUUUUGUCCCAACAAUGAUACUAAUUUCAGAGAACUUACGAAUUCAGUCAACGACCGAAGGCAUGAUAACUUGAUUUCUAAUCUCAUAGAGAUAUUUGUGGCAUGCAUAUUAACAAGCACAUUGUCUCUUCUUCUCUCAGCAUAUAGAUAAUAUUUUCUUCGAUGCACAACAAAUGCAUUGGCUAAGCAUCAUAAACUCUCAUAAAUGCUACUAAGCAUGAGAUUAAGGAGCAUGAAAGCAUUUAACCACUUAGGAGAUAUUUCCUCGCAAUUUUCAAGGAAGCCAAACCAUCGAUGGCAACGUAAACUCCUCGUGCGCCUCCAGCACGAGGGUGCCUCUAGUCUCCUAGUACCAGAGGUACAAGAACAUUGUCCAUACGGGCCAAACAGAACAAAAACAUAGCUCAAUACAUUUAGAUAAUUCAAUCAUAGGUGAGGAAAACUCACCUCUAUGCAAAAAUCUCCUCUAAGCUCCAAAAUGAAGCUAGGCUCAUCACAAUCCAACCCAAAGGAGCCUCUAACAAUCAUCUAGCUUCAAAAGCCCUAGAUUCAAAUGCCCAAAAUAAAACUAAAUAUCAGCAAUCUUAGGUUUCAAACUCAAUGAAAUUCCAAUAAAACUCAAAUCUAGAGAAGAUAGUAUAAUGCUUACCUCUUAGAAGCUUUAAAUCAAGCUCUAAAUCUUUACAUCCAAGAUCUACCUCACACUUAGCUCCAAAUCCGCUUCCUAGCAUCCAUCAAUGUGGGAGAAGCAGUAAAGAGGAAAGAAAGGAUUAACUCUAAAAUCUAGCUUACGAGGGAGAUUAAAACCAAAUGAGAAUCAAAGAGAAGCUCCUCCUUACUUGCUCCCUUGCAGUGGCAAGCUUCAAAGAAGAGCCUAGGGGCCGUGUGCUGUUAUACGUAUUGCUACAAAACGGCACAAGAACCCCUGCACGUUUCAUUCUGACAAAUCUGACUCCUUGUACCGGUACACGGGCUCUUGUACCGGUACAAGGCCGACGAAAUUGCAAACCCGAGGCUCGGGUCGCGCGGUCUGCGGCUCUGUACCGGUACAAGCCCGAUGGCUGUACCGGUACAACCAUCAACCCUUGUACCGGUACAAGGCCAGUCUUGUUCCGGUACAAGCCCUGCUGCAGGCUACCCGAGAGCUGUCCAAUGAAUCCAAUUUUUGGAUUUUGGUACCAAGCUUCAAACCAACAUCCUCGGGGUGCGUGCCAGGGGUCGGAACACUAUCAACGACCCUCCAGAAACUGUGGAGAGGCUCCACACACCAAUCAAACACUCGAAUCUUGCAAUUUGCUAAGAUCCAGUGUAUUACACAUUUACAUAAUGCUAACAUGCCCGUAUGCACAUACAUAUGCAUCAACAAGAAUCCAUAUUCCACUUUGACAUGUGGGGGGACCUAGUCGCUUUGGUAAGCACAACCCACCUUAACUUACUCUCCGAUUGCUCGUAGUCACUUGCAAUCGGCCUCCCGCGGCACCCGUGAUCCGGUUCGGCCCAAACUCUCGUGCAACUACCCAAACGGCCACCAAUCCACGAUCCGAAAAUUAAAGGUCUACGUUUAGUUGCCACGGGCCCAUGAUUCCGAUUUCAUGAUUUUUGGACGUCGCCUCGGCCCUCCAGGCAGAAACGAAGCCAAAAACGUCGUUUCUUCAAUAACUUCGCGUAGGCUCAACGAAUCACCAAACCGACUUCGCCAACGCGUUAAAAUACCUAGCAAUUAGGUUUACAUCGGUCCAAUUUAGAUCAAACCCCUACAUUUACAAAACUAGCAUUUCUAACCCUAGCAUGAAAACAACCCCAAAUAAUUUAAAAUUAAAUAGAGCGACAUGCUAGAAACACUUUAGAGACCAUUAGAACACUAAACAUCAAGGAUUAAACCAAAUCCUAGAAGCUUACCAAAUUGUGAACGCCGAGUCGAAAGCACGCCGCGCAACCGGGUGCACGAAGACUCGAACCGACGCUUCGCACGCAUUCACAAGCACGCUCUCGGCCAACACCGCAAGUUUGAGGGAGAGAUCUAGAGAGAUGAGAGAGAUAUUUAGAGAGAGAAAGGAGAGUUUCUCUCUCUCCCUCCAUGCAUGCGUGUGAUGCUUGCUGGUGGUGAUGCUCGGUUGAAGGAGAAAAGAAGCGAAUAGCUUCUUUUAUAAUAAACCUCCAAAAACACUAUUCACUUUAGUUUGUAGCUCAGGUACAGAUAUUUUUCGCAUGCCCUUCUGAAUGUCCGUUUGAGCUCAAACUUGCCAGUCAGGCUCGGUUUUACUUAACUUAACGAAAAAAAUUUUAAUCUUUCAGUUUCGACCACAUUUGGUCACCGAAAGCUCUACCGAACUGUAAUCUCUAGCAGAUAGUAGUCGGAUUUUAUUUUUCACCUUUCCGGUGUCAAAAUGAGAUGAAACUUUAAAUCUAGCCUCAUAAAAAUAAUUCUGACAUAUUAUCCAGUUUUCAUAAUUUUCUGACACUGUGCAUUUUCUGCUAAAAUAUCAGCCCCAUCACUCUCAUAAAAUUCUAAAUCUUCUGUUUUCGUUUCGAUUUCAGCACAAGUUAUUUCUAACUUAUAUUUUACUUCUCUAAAUCUAAAAAAAAUAGUAUCUCACACUAUUUUUAUUUAUUUUUACUUUUAUAUCAAAAUUUGGUAUGUUACAUUCUCCAUCCCUUAAAAAGAAUUUCGUCCGCGAAAUUCAAACCACGCCUCAAUUCAGCUCCUCGAGCAAUUGAGGGUACCGACUCAUUCUCCCACUCCAGAGCGGCUUCACACUAUUGUGGUUCCAGAAGCAGCUCAUACUGAAGGACGUUGGUUUAAUCCUAAACACAUUUGCAAAGUGUGAUACAAAAGUGCAUCACGGGUCUUGCAAGUCAUAGUGGCAGCGCAAGUUGGUACUCGAUGACUCUACGCGCUCCAACCCCACUCGCCACUCAGUACACAAAGGACUCUUCUUUGCAUUGACCUUCCCUUCAGGGAACACAUCCCAAUUCGAUCACCAACAUUGCUUAGAAGCAAUAUCACCGGUGCAUCGUUCCAUCGUGAGUGCUUCAAUUCCGCACUAACCUUUAGUUCUAACGUGAGAUGGCCCACCUCGGCGCAUCCCAAUUCAUUGUGGAUUGUUUAACCAAGUCGGCACAUUUCGUACCGAUCCACACUACAUGGUCAGGUGACAAGUUAGCGCAGGUGUAUCUCAAUGAGAUUGUGAGGUUACACGGGGUUCCAAGGUCGAUCGUGUCGGAUCGAGACCCCCGUUUUACUUCGCAUUUUUGGAAAAACCUGCAGGAAGCGCUCGGCACACGCCUCGAUUUCAGCACCGCAUUCCAUCCUCAAAUUGAUGGACAAUCAGAGAGAACCAUUCAGAUCUUGGAGGAUAUGCUGCAGGCGUGUGUGAUCGACUACAAGGGUAGUUGGGCAAGUCAUUUACCGAUGGCCGAGUUCGCCUACAACAACAGUUACGAGGCGAGUAUAGAGAUGGCACCGUUUGAGGCUCUUUAUGGGCGAAAGUGUCGGUCUUCUAUACAUUGGAGUGACGUAGGUGAACGUGCGGCAUUGGGCCCUGAUGUGUUGCGGGAGGCGGAAGAGAAGGUCCGUCUCGCUCGCGAGAAGUUGCUCGCGGCGCAAUCUAGACAAAAGAGCUACUCGGAUAAGCACCGUAGAGAUUUGGAGUUCGCGGUGGGUAACCGCGUCUUCUUUAAGGUUUCGCCUAUGAGAGGCGUGAAGCGCUUUGGAGUGCGGGGGAAGUUGAGUCCCCGCUAUAUUGGACCUUUCGAAGUGUUGGAACAUAUUACAUUGGUAGCAUACCGACUCGCAUUACCGCCGAAGCUUGCGGAUGUACAUAAUGUGUUCCACGUCUCCAACCUUCACAAAUAUGUCCACGACCCCGAGCAUGUUAUGUAUUAUGAACCGCCGAAUCUAUAAGAGGACUUGAGCUAUGAGGAGUUCCCGGCGAUGAUCAUUGCUCGAGAGGUGCGAAAAUUGAGAAAUCGUGAGAUUCCCUACGUGAAGAUUUGUUGGACCAAUCACAGUGAUCGUGAGGCCACGUGGGAACUCGAGGAGGUGAUUAAAGGUGCAUUAUCCCCAUCUCUUUGAAGAAGCGAGUUGAGGUAUGAAUUAUUGAAGUUAUUGAAUUCGUUUCGAGGACGAAACUCCUUUAUAGGAGGGGAGGAUGUAAGGAAGUGAAUUCUCGAAAUACGAGAGUUGGAUUUCGCUCAAAGUCGACAAAUUGUCGAGUGGGAGUGCUUCGGAAAAGCCGAAGAAGUCAAAAGCACCAAAAGUGCAUUAGAGUUGGAUCUCGGAGAGCGAAUUGAUGAAAAUCUACAUCUGGCAGAUUUUGCUCUCGGGGACCGGUCUCUGGUGGGAGAGACCGGCCCCCGUAAGUAUUGUGGGCGGCAGAGAAGCUCUGCACGCAAGUAUUGUUCUCGAGGUCCGGUCCCUAAAGAGGGGACCGGUCCUUGAAGGUCCGGUCCCUCAGGUGAGGACCGGUCCCUGUACGCGUAGCCAGCGGGAAGAAGAGAAAAUCGGCUAAGUCCUGAGAGUUCAGCUCUCGAGGACAGGUCCCUGGAGGGAGAGACCGGUCCCCGUGCGCGUGAAAGGGUUGGCCCGAGGGCUCUACAUGUGAGGCAGCUCUCGGGGACCGGUCCUCCCGUAGAGGGAUCGGUCCCCGCACACGAAAUCUACCUAGUCCGGGCAGUGCAUAAGAGGCAAAGUGGAGGGGGCUAAAUGCUAUUAUAGCAUGAGAGGGGUUAAGUGGGCAUUUCCCCUCUCUCUUUCUCUCAUUUCCCUCCAAUAUACACACAUCUCUUUCUCUCUCUAGGAAGAAAAGAAGGAGAAGAAGGAAAAGAAGAAGAAGAAGAAGAAGAAGAAGAAGAAGGAAAGGAAAAGGAAGAAGGAGAAGAAGAUCAAGAUGAGGGUUUCCAUCAUCUUCUCCAUCUCCUUCUUUGCUUGGGCUAGCUAAUAGAGGUAAGCAUCUACACCUUCUCAUGGUAGAAGUGUUAGGGUUGGCUUUGAUCUCUUAGAACCUAGCUAGAUGGACUCUAGUGGAUCUCUAGAAGUGGAUGAACUCAUUGAUUGCAUGAUUAAAUGCUAGAAUAGAGCUAUUGCAAUAUUGGGGCUUCUAGGGCAUUCAAAAGAGGGGUUUUUCUUGUGAGGGGUUUUGAUCUCAAUUGACUCUUCUUUAAUCUAAUUGUUAGGUCCCCGAACGCGUUCGUGCACUCGAUUUGAGCAUUCGUCGAGGCUACGAAGAGAUAUUGGCGAAAGACCCAUUUUUGGCUUCGUUUUCGCUUGGAACGCCGAGGAAACAUCUAAAAAUCACAAAAUCGGAACCCUAGCCUUUUGGUAGUAUAAGAAGGUGGGGGGUGUCCAUCUCAAAGCAACCGGGCUUCUUUUUAUGUCUAAGUUCUUUAUAUUGAUCAUAUAUUGAUAUUAUGCAUUAUAGAAUUAGUAGAUAGUUACAAUUCUAACUCCUUGCAUGCUUUCUUAGCAGUGUAGCAUUGAGGGCUUGACACAUGGACUAGGGACGCAUGAGGAUUGAGUCUUGUGACAUGGAAUCCUAUAGUGGCGCAAUGAAAUGAACUUGGACAUGUAUAGCCUAGAUGAGUAGCAUUGAACUAGUGUAGUAGAAACACUAAACAUGAAUGAGUGGCAUGUCAACUAGUUAGAAAACUUACUACAAAUGAUCGAACGAGUGGCAUCGAGUCUAGUGUAGUAAACAUGACAUGAACUUAGGGAUGGUAGAAGUCCUGUCAUUUGAUUAUGCAUCGUGAUUGUGCAGCAGAGGCAAUAUGACCCUAGUAGAUUGUGAGGAUUGGAUCAUACUCACUAGUCUGUUUUGCUUGUCGGUGGUUACUCCACUGAAGCAGUGGUGUAACACACUGGACCUUUGCAGUGGUGUAACACACUGGACCUUUGCAAAUUUCGAGGUUCGAGUGUUUGGGUUGAGUUAUGAGUUUUUUCAGAUUUUCUGGUGGGUCGUUGACAGUGUUCCGACCUAUGGCUCGUAUCCCUAGAAUUGAGGUUUGAAGCUUUGCACCAAAACUCGAAAAGUCAGAUUUUUGGUCAGCUCUCAGGUAGCCUUCAGCAGGCUGUGUACCAGUACAGGGUUGAUGGCUGUACCGGUACAGGGUUGAUGGCUGUACCGGUACGUGGGCCCGUGUACCGGUACACUGCGGCAGAUCUGAAUGGUCGAACUGCAGGGGUGUUUUUGCGAUUGUGCUUUCUAUAACACCACCCAUGCCCCUUAGAGCCUCCCCUGAGCUGAAACCAGUGAAGAGCAAGGUAGGGCUCCUCUCCUCCUCUCCUCUUUGGUUUAUUCUUCCCUUUUUACUUGGGAUUUAAGGUUUGAUUUCCUCUUUUGCUCCUUGGUGCUUGUAAUAUACCGAAAAUUCGGAAGAUAAAUAUCGAACUUUAGUCAAAUUGACCAAAGUGCGAGGACGGUACACUUCGGAAAGUCCGAAGAUGUUAAAAUGAGUAAAAGUGAGUUAAAGAAGGUUUUCGAGAGCUAGAGAGUUAAAUUCUGCAAAACUGUAGAUUUUCAGCUCUCGGGGACCGGUCNUUGAUGGUUUUUUUGAUAUGAAACCCUAGAAUGAGGUUUUAGGGUUGAUUUUGGGCAUUUUGGAUCUAGGGCUUUUCGAGCUUAAUCUCUUGGAUUAGACCUUCCUCUAGGUUAGAUUGGAAGGGUUCUAGCCCUCUUUUGGAGCUUAAGAAGAGAUUUCUUCAUUGAAGGUGAGUUUUGGCCCUUUUCUUGAGACGGUUAAAGAUCGAGCCAGGGAUUGUUCGUAACGUUCGUUUCUCUCUUCUUUCCUUACCUUUAGGGUGCUAGAGGACUUGGGGACAACUUCGUUUGAGCUUACGAAGGGUUUCGAGAUGCUUCGGUGGGUUUGACCUAGCCGCACAAUGAGAAAUUCUCAUUUGUGAUGAUUUGAGUAUCGUAAAAUAGAAAAUAAUGCAUAUUCAUGUUAAAUGUAUUUAUUAUGAAUUUUAGAAUGCUUAAAAUGCCUAUGUUACAUAUAAUGCAUUUUGGACCUCUAUGUAGUGGAGAGUUGCAUGUGGGGCUUAUGGUUGCAUUUAGCAUUCCGUGUGGGAUUUGGGACCAUGUUUCCUAUAGUAGAAAUGACAUAUGUAAGUACCCUUGAACUUAAAUUCUCAUUGGACAUAAAAACUACUACAAUGCCAUAAAGAGGCAUCAGACAAGAUUGACAUGUGAAAUUGUGAACUAAUGUCAUAAAACAGCAUUGAGCUCGGGUUAUGUGUGAACCUAGUGGAUAGAGCCAUUGAGAGAUUUGGAAAUUGGAACAUGCUUGAAUAUAGAAUUGUCUUAGUGUCAUAAGGAGGCACUAGACUUAGUGAAUGUUGGAACUUCACAUUGAGACAUUGAACUAGAUCUUCGAGAUGCUAGUGACUUUUACCAUGUUAGAGACAUGAUGAUUGGACUUUUGAGACGUUGACUACGCUUCCUUGCCAUUUGUGCUCAUUCGCACAUGCUUGUGAGGGUCGCUCCCUACAAGCCGGCACUCCGGAGUUGGCCUACGCGAUUUAUGCUUGCUCGUGCGGUAUCGAAAAACCUACGGGGUCGGGAGGGAUAGACUCAUUCCUAUAGUGGAAAUACUGGAGCUACCACCGACACUUAGGUGGCACAAGCUGGACUAUAUUUAUGCAAGUCCUAGAACAUGAUUAAACAAUGACAUUGAACCGGAAAAUGACAAUCACUACUAAAUAGGCUUAGUAGUUUGAUUACUUCGACAUGCUUAUAGCAUAGUGUUGGGACAUGUAGUAUACGUGAUAGUCUUAUUUGUUGCAUCAUAGUAUACUUGUGUCACGCCCCGCCCCGAAACCUCUUGUGUGAUAAUCAUCAUCGGGAACUCUUCAUAGCUCAAGUCCUCUUGAAGCUGCGGUGGCUCAUAUAGCAUUGCGUGCUCAGGGUCGUGAAUAUACUUGGGGAGAUUGGAGACAUGGAACACAUUGUGUACAUCCGCGAGCUUCGGCGGCAAAGCGAGUCGAUAAGCCACCAUGCCAACUCGCUCCAAUAUUUCAUAGGGUCCAAUGUAUCGAGGACUCAACUUUUCCCGCACUCCAAACCGCUUUACACCCCGCAUCGGUGAAACCUUCAAGAACAUGCAUAGCUUUGCUGUCUGCAUAUCUCGUUGGCGCCUAUCUCGUUGGCGCCUAUCUGCAUAGCUUUGCUGUCUCGACUGCGCCGUGAGCAAUCUCUUGCGAGCAAGGCGGACUUUCUCUUCCGCUUCUCGCAGAACAUCAGGGCCGAACUCUGUACGCUCACCCACAUCGCUUCAGUGUAUAGGAGACCGACACGUCCGCCCAUAGAGAGCCUCGAACGGUGCCAUCUCCACACUAGCAUGAUAACUGUUGUUGUAGGCAAACUCGGCCAUAGGUAGGUGAUCACACCAACUUCCCUUAUAGUCGAUGACACAUGCUCGCAACAUGUCCUCUAGAGUUUGAAUGGUUCUCUCUGUUUGCCCAUCGGUCUGAGGAUGAAAUGCGGUGCUAAAGUCGAGCCGUGUGCCAAGGGCUUCCUGCAGGCUCUUCCAGAAGUGUGAAGUGAACCGGGGGUCACGAUCCGACACGAUCGAUUUCGGCACCCCAUGCAGUCUCACUAUCUCGUCGAGGUAUACCUGCGCUAACUUGUCACCCGACCAUGUGGUGUGGAUCGGCAAGAAGUGAGCCGACUUCAUCAGUCGGUCCACAAUUACCCAAAUUGCAUCGUGGCCUCCCGUUGAGCAAGGCAAGCCGACCACAAAGUCCAUCGAUAUAUCCUCCCACUUCCAAACGGGGAUUGGUAGGCUUUGAAGCUUUCCCGCUGGAAAUCGACGCUCUGCUUUCACUUGUUGGCAUGUUAAGCACUUCGCCACAAAGCGUCCAAUAUCACUCUUCAUUCCCGGCCACCAGUAGUGCAUUUUUAGUCCUUGAUACAUCUUGGUGCCGCCCGAGUGAUCGGCAUAUGGAGACCGAUGCGCUUCUUGUAGAAUUAGCUCGCGAAGUUCUCCAUCUUUUGGCACACACCAUCGGUUUCGAAACCGAAGUGUACCACUGGCGUCUGUACUGAAAUCUCCGCCUCGACCAUCCUCGAUGUCUCGCCGUACCUUUUGGAGUUCUGGGUUUGCGGAUUGCAGAUCUUUGAUCCUUUCCAACAAGGUCGGUUGAAUAACGAGAGCCAUCAACUGGGCCGGAACCUCGGGAGCGACCACCUCAAGGUUCAUCCGCUCCAUGUCUAACCACAAAGGUGAUUGAUUUGUAACCCACAUCGAGAGGUUCUCCGCCGACUUUCUGCUCAAUGCAUCAGCGACCACAUUGGCUUUCCCGAGGUGGUAGAGGAUAUCGACGUCAUAGUCCUUUAACAAUUCUAACCACCGCCGCUGUCGCAUAUUGAGUUUCUUCUGUGUGAACAGAUAUUUCAAACUCUUGUGGUCUGUGUAAAUCUCACAAUGGGCACCAUACAAGUAGUGCCGCCACAGCUUCAAGGCGAAGAUUACCGCUGCUAGCUCCAAAUCGUGGAUGGGGUAGUUCUUCUCAUAGCUCUUCAGCUGACGGGAUGCAUAAGCAAUCAUUUUCCCGUUUUGCAUCAAAACACACCCCAGUCCUAGAUAGGAGGCGUCGCUGUAGACUACGAAGUCUUCGCCUUGUACCAGUAGAGCGAGCACCGGAGUCGAAGUUAAUUUUUGCUUCAACUCUUUAAAACUCCGGUCGCACUCUUCGCUCCACACGAACCUAGUGCCCUUCUGAGUCAGACGGGUAAGUGGAAUUACUAUCUUAGAAAAGCCUUCCACAAAUCGCCUAUAAUAGCCUGCCAAGCCCACGAAGCUUCGAACCUCCGUGACAUUCGUCGGGCGCGGCCAAUCCUUGAUUGCCUCAACUUUCCUCGGGUCUACAGAGACUCCACCUGCAGAAAUCACAUGCCCUAGAAAUGCGACUUCUCGGAGCCAGAAGUCACACUUCUUUAACCUAGCAUACAACUUCUCCUCCCGAAGCGUUUGAAGCACUAUCCUCAAAUGCUCGGCAUGUUCCUCGUCACUACGAGAAUAGACCAAUAUGUCGUUUAUGAAAACCACGACAAAUCAAUCCAAAAACUUCCUGAAGAGACGGUUUAUCAAGUCCAUAAAUGCCGCUGGAGCGUUCGUGAGUCCAAAUGGCAUGACCGUGAAUUCAUAGUGCCCGUAUCGCGUACGAAACACAAUUUUCUGCACAUCCUCCGGCUUGAUCUUCAACCGGUGAUAGCCGUACUGUAAGUCUAUCUUCGAGUACACACACGACCCCUACAACUGAUCGAACAAGUCAUCGAUUCGGGGUAGUGGGUACUUGUUCUUGAUCGUGACUCUGUUCAACUCUCGAUAAUCCACGCAGAGUCGAAACGAUCCGUCAUACUUCUGUACAAACAACACCGGGGCUCCCCACGGUGAUACACUUGGCCGGAUAAAUUGCUUGUCGAGGAGGUUUUGCAAUUGACUCCUCAACUCUUUCAGUUCCGCCGGCGCCAUUCGGUACGGAGCCUUCGAGAUCGGUGCGGUAUCGGAAACCAAGUCUAUGACGAACUCGAUCUCCCGAUCCGGUGGUAUCCCCGGUAAUUCCGCGGGAAAUACAUCCGGGAACUCUCACACCACCGAUAACUCCUCUAAUGUUGGAGUUACUCGUUCCACUUCCACAACAGUCGCUAAGAAUGCCGUGCAACAGCUGUCAACCAACUUCCUUGCUCUCGUCGCCGACACCUUCGCGACGAAGCACGAGCUUUGACAAGCCUGAUAUGUGAACUCCUUUUGUCCUGGCUCACGAAAUGUGAUUACUCUGCUCUUGCAGUCGAUCGUUGCAUAAUAUUUCGAGAGCCAGUCCAUGCCCAAAAUGAUGUCAUAAGCCUCGAGCUUCUUGAGUUCUAGCGUCCGAAUAGGCAUUAUCCAGUCACCCAUUUGUACUGGACACGACGCACACUCCGAGUAAGUGUUAAACGUCGACCCAGGGCCUCAACUCGCCACUUGUCACUCGCCUCUAUGAGUAUGCCAUGCAUGCGUGCGAAUGAUCCACUUAUGAACGAAUGUGUGGCUCCUAUAUCAAAUAAAGCCCUGGAGCGAACUCCGUUAAUUAAAACCAUACCUACUACAAGGCGAUGCUCCUCCGCCUCCGCAGGCUCCUCGGUUUGAACCUGAGCGGCGAAUACCCGACCGCUCGGAGCUGAUCGCGUCACCUCAGGUUGACGCGGCAUCACCGCGCGUCCCGUCGACGCGGCCGUCGAUGGAGCUCCUCCAUAGUGAGCCGGAAUCGCCGUCGUCGAUGCAAUCGAUGGGGCAGGUGAGGCUCCUCCUCCCGAGCAGUCCCGAAUGAAGUGCCCCGGUUGCCCACACUUGUAGCACUUGCCUCGGCCCUGCUCACAUCGCGAGACUGGGUGGUCUUCGCCGCAUAUGAUGCAUCGCCGCGCUCCACCGCCCCUUGGCUGAGUCCGUGGAUACUUCGGGGGCUUCUUGGAACGUGUUUGUCCCCCCGAACCGCCGCCGCCUUGGCGUUUCUUGCCCUUGUCCUUGGACUCGGCUAGCAUCUCACGCUUCUCCCGGACAUGGGCGUCUCCGUGCUCUGCCCAAAGUGCUCGGUCGAAGACCUCUGCAAAGGUCGUGAGCUUGAGUAUCUGCACGGCCUUAUAAAUCCCCGGCCGAAGUCCUCGCAAGAACCAAUCGGCCCGGUCCCGGUCAUCCUUCACUACGUCCGGAACACAAUCAAUGAUGUGGGAGAACUCUUGUUCAUAUUCCGCCACUGAGCGGUCCCCUUGCUCCAACUUGCGGAACUUCUCCUUGAGCUUCCGCUUUAGUGUAUCGGGGAAGUAGUUGGCGAACAUCUCCCGCUUGAAUUCCUCCCACAGCAUCGGCGGGAGACUGGAAGACCGAUCUCGCUUCACGCGCUUCCACUAUACCUUUGCCGCUUUCUCCAAACAGUGGGUGGCAAGGUACACCUUAUCCCUCUCCAAGGUACGCAAGUCCUCAAAGAGAGUCUCCAUCGAAUCGAUCCAAGACUCGACCAUCGCCGGCUCCACCUUCUCGCACUCAAAGGUAGGCGCAUGGAACUUGUUGAACUUAAUAAGAGCCACCAAUGCGCGCUCUCCUUCCACAUCUUCGACGGUCACGUCGGGUGUAGCCGAUCCCGACGUCGCCUGUGGUACGAUCGCUGGCGGUGGGCGUGCCGUCACCGGAACCGCCGCUAUACCCUCACCCUCUGCCGCUCCGGGUACAUGAGUCGAGGGUGCGGGUGGACCACCGCCCUCGUUCACCGUCGCAGUCGCUGCCGCAACCUGCUGCUCCAAAAGAUCCUGAAGUCGCUCGAAUCGGGUCUCCUGGCGCUGCACCACAUUGGUCAACGUGGUCACUUGCGCCCGCAAUUGAUCCAUCUCGCUCGGUUCAGCCUGCUCGGGCACCUCGGGAAGCGGUGCCGAAGUAGGCCUCGUGCUCGGGCGUCUUCUUGGUGCCAUUGGCUCCUGAAACGCAAGUACUUGGUUAAUUAUCUUAACCCGUUCGCCUCGUCGCAAUUACGACACACAAUGACUCAACAACGAAAUCGGGCGGAAGCACACAAGUGUACUCAUUCUAGACUCUUGGUAUCAUGUAGUCGGCCGCCGACACAACCACCUCAAGACAAGAACUCAUACCACUUGAAUCCGUCUCUAAUCACAACUAGAGACAUAUUACCAACUUCGACCCAAUCGAAUCAACUUUCGCCAUCGUUAUAGGUUCACGUUCCACUCACGCACCUAUAACCUUAGGGCUUACCAACCUAGGGUCUCCUAGGUCAUCCUAGAUUCUCUCUUUACUUGCUCUUAUCGCUCUGAUACCAUACGACUGUCACGCCCUGCCCCGAAACCACUACCAAUUUGGCACGAUUCGGGCGCGUUGGGCGGACCGCCGAACGGACAGCACCUCUCCUGCCUGCCCAAGGCUCAACAACAGGAAUGUGUACAAAAAUUUACCCAGGAAAUUUAAAUUCUAAAUAUACACAUUCAACGGGGCACAAGUAGUGCGAACAACUGAGAGCAAGUAAUCCACAAGUAAAAACAAGUGAAAUAAAGAGAGUACUUUACUAACUAUUGCAAUAGUUUUGCAUCUUUUUAUAUGUACAUCUUUUCCUCAAAAUGAAUACAUAUGUUCAUUCAAAAUACGUAGCUCUCCAAAUCCUCACCUACAUUAAUCUCUCUCAAUACAUAGAUGUGCUAAUGCAAAAAGGAAAGCUACUAUACUACCACGAUCUCACUGAUUGGGCGCGAUGCCCUUGCCGCGGUCCUCGCUCAGUAAACCUGUACCUACCACUGGAAAUAGAGUGGGGGUGAGAACUAUCUUUCAUAGUUCCUAGUGGGCUCGGCCGCCGACUCCGCCGGUCUCCCCACUAGGUAAAAAUAGGCACAAGUAACAACAGAUAGAUAGAUAGAUAGAUAUCUGAAAGCUGUAAAGGCAUAAAGGAAAACUAUGCUACUAUGCCCAUAAUCAUGUAUAAUGAAUGCAUGCGUCAUAUAGUAAAGGUUUACUAUCAUGCUAACAAAUUCGAUCCAUGUUCGAAUAUUAAUGUUCAAUGACAUUGUUAACUGUUCAUUUACCCAAUCUGUGGUGAAGCCCUUGGGUUCGCCCUCGACUCACCUUGCCAUCCCAUUGGGUGGGUAGCUCCAUGUGCUCCCAGACCCGGGACCGUCUGCGGACCUCCAAGUGGUCCGGACCUCCAAGUUGUCCUAGUCGCGCGACACUCCGGAGUACUCGACGACAAUCCUCUCCAUGUGAGGAUAUGGAUGGCUAUACCACCCCAAAGCAGACCGUGAGCAUGAUCUAUUCCCUCCAUGUGGGGACACCCUACCUUUAGGGCCAACAUCUCAAUAGACACUCGUCUAUAUCCUCUCCAUGUGAGGAUACCCUAUGAACUAGGGUCAACAUCUCUUGCAGAAUCAUCUGUUCCCGACAUUCAUGUAAUGCUGUUUAGCUUUUCUAAAUUCAUUGUUCACAAGGCAUUUUCUAAGGGAUCCACCUAUCCCUAGGUCCAUCGACCUCUAGUGUUAAAUACACUACAUUAAUGCCACUCGAUAUGUUCUUUAACAUUUGAUGCCACUCGUUUGUUCUUUAGCAUUUAAACGCUACUUUCUAUGUCACCAAACACCCAUCGUGUUUCAUCUCUUUUCUUUAGCAUUAUAGGAUUCAUGUUCCGACCCAAUCCUUACCUAUCCAAGUCACCAAGCGUUCCAUGUACACUAGGUUAUCAAUUAGAAAGCAUAAGGAAAGGUACUACUAUGCAAUCCUACAAUGUAACAUGCAAGAGAUGCAAUCAUAUGCUAUUCUAAGACAUAGAAAAGAGCCCGGUUGCUUCGGGAUGACACCCCCCACCUUGUGUAGUCGAUGUUCGUUGUGGAGGUUCCAGAAGUGUUCCUCGGCCCUUCAAACCACGUGUUCCCCGCCUCUUUGGGAGAAACGAAGCUAGGUCGGCCCUAUAUUGCCGAUAGCUCUACACCUGCUCGAUGAAUCAUAAUUCCGACUCCGCCAACACGUUUGGACACCUAGCAAUUAGGUUUACAAGGCCUCAAAUGAGAUCAAUCUCAUCUAUUUUCAAAAAUCCCAUUUUGGGUGCCCUAGGGUUAGCAUCAUGCCAUUUGCACUAUGAAACCCUAGCCUCUAGCUCUAAUCCACCAACAAUGGUGCUAGAAGUCCAUUUGACCUCAUCUCAAAGCUCAAGACCCAAAAACCCUAAGUUCUCAAAGCUAGGGUUUGGUAGCUUACCUCUUGAGCUACACCAAAGAGAAGAGGAGAGGGAGAUGAAGGUGUCCAAGGCCUUCCUCUUGAUCUCCUUCUUCUUCUCCUCCCUUUUCUUCUUCUCCUUUUCCUUCCUGUCCUUCUUGUUCUUCUUGUUCUUAUUCUCUUUCUAGAGAGAGAGAGGGAGCAAGAGAGAGUGUAAGAGAGAGAGAAAGGGCCUACAUACCCCUCUAUUGUAACAAAAUCCAUUUUAGCCCCUCAACUUUUCACCCUGUACACAGUCCUCACUGGGCAUUCUGCGCCCAGAGGGACCGGUCCCUCGUCGGGGAGACCGGUCCCCGAGAGCAGUCCUGGCGGCCAGAAGGCCUCUUCGUGUUCGGGGACCGGUCUCUCCCUGGGAGACCGGUCCUCGGGAGACCGGUCCUCGCCUGAGAGACCGGUCUCCGAGAGCUCGAUUUUUAGGACUUAGCCGAUUUUGGCCUUCUCUCGCUGGCGUCGCACACGGGAACCGGUCCCCUCAGCCAGGGACUGGUUGCAUCAAAGAUCCCCAGCAACCACCAGCCUCGGGGACCGGUCUCUUCCUGCCAGGGACCGGUCCCCGAGAGCAACUUCAGCCCAGUGCAGGUUUUGCACUAUAUGCUCUCGCGGACUCAACUCCAAUGCACUUUUUGUGUUUUGGAUAACUUUAGCUUUCUCAAAGAAUACUCGACAAUUAGUCGAUCCUGGAUGAAAUACAACUCUCGGAUUUCGAGAAUUCACUUCCUUACAACUUGGCUGCCAUGAUAGAGCAUAUUCACUAUAUACCGAUAUAUUGGAUCAUGAUACCUACUUGCUCGUUAUGUUAGGACCUAUUAGUCAUGCUUGGACAUACUUCAUUUUGAUAAAGUAAAUUUACAACUCAUUGACAUCAUGUUUAAUUGCGACAUAGUAGCUUAGCAUUUUAUUUAUACUUUCAUAAAUGCAAUCUAUUUAUUAUUAUCGUCGUUUCUGUACUUACCCUUUUCUUUUGGGGCCUAGUGGUGCAUUGAGCUCAGGUCAGUAAUUGCCUACUGGGAACUAUAAAUUAUAGUUCUCAUGCCCUCUGUUUUAUGUCUUAUUUCAGAGCCUUUCACGCCGGGAGAGGCUAGGGACCGCGGAAAGGGUAUCGCCUCGAGCUAGCUUGCUAUCGAGGGACGCGUUGAUAGGUGGUCUAACUCUCGUUGUUUUCUUUUUGGAGAGGUUGAGUGUUGUAUUCAUGUAUAGAGACCACCCUUUUGUAUACCCCUUUUGGAGAUGGUUAUUGUAUAACUUUAUGAUUCACCUUUAUUGUUUAGUAUAUUCCUUCUACCUUGCUAUAGAUGAUAGAUUUACUCUUGCUCUGAUAUCUCUAGUUGUAGAUUAUCUUUGCCUUUAUUUUCUGCUGUUGUUGUAGAUGCCUUAUAUGUGUUGACAUAUGGCGGGUCUCGGCGCGCUCCCGGGAGGGCCUCCGCCCGUUCCGGGGCGUGACAGAUUAAUUUGGUAUCAGAGUCUAGGGUUGAGUCUCAGUGGACCUAGCAAACCUUAGGCCGGUUGGACUAUAGAAAAUAGACUCGUAAGAGACGAGGUCUAUUCGAUUUGUAAACGAAAGUAUUAUAAUUGGGUUUUAUGAUAACUCUAAAAAGUUGGAGUUGGACUAGAGUGUAUGGCUUCUAACUUCGCGGAGGGUUACGUUGGCGGCCGACAACGUAACAUCGGGAGUUAGUUGUGGAUAACACUUUCUUACUUUCGCAUGAUUUGGGUAUUGUUUAUUUGAGUGGGGAUACGAUAGCGUGGGUUGUACUAACUUGUGUUUUUAUGAUGUUGUAGAGACGAUGCCGAUCACCCGCUCUAAAUCUGCUGGAGCGGAUAAUGCGGCACAUCUUGAGCAGGUCGAGACCUCCGCUACCUUCGGAUCCGGUGAGGUCCGUGAGUUGAGGGGCCAGCUAGCAGCCCUCACUGCUUUGGUGACGGAGCAGGCGGACGCGGCACGCUGGCAGGAGGCGCGGAUGAAGCAUUUAGAGGACCUUCUGCUACAGCAGGCGGCUGCCAGGGAGACUCAGAACCUUACACCACCCGCACCAGUGGAGGUGGUUGCGCCCAGGGUGUCUUCCCCUGCACUCGACGCUUCUAAAACGGCACCAGCAGCAGCACCUCGAGAGGAGGACAUCGCGGCACCACCAGCGCGAGCACCUGUAGCGGGGGCGGUUUUCUCUGUGAUGGUUGAGGGAGCUGAGCGGGAUCGGCUUAUGGAGCGUCUUAGUGAGUUCAUGAGAUGCAGUCCACGGAGCUUCGACGGGGAGAACGUGGACCAUUGGAUAGUAGAGAAAUGGCUGAUGCAUAUGGAGAAGCUGUUUCGGGACACCUUUGUCGAGGAGAGGGAUCGAGUGUGGCUCGCCACACAUCAUUUGGACGGCGAGGCCUAUAGAUAGUGGUUGGACAUCCAGGAUAACCCCAGCACGGAUUUGACAGCGAUUUCAUGGAGGAGGUUCAAGGAACUCCUACUGGAGCAUUACUUCCCUGACAGUGUUAAGAGGAAGAUGGAGCAGGAUCUGCACAAUCUGCGUUAGGGGGACAGGACUGUAGCCGAGUAUGAGAGAGAGUUCUCCCGGCUUCUUCAUUAUGUGCCCUUCGUUGUUUGAGACGACGUGGACAAGGCCCGCAUCUUCGAGAGGGGAUAGCGGCCUUCGAUCUUUCGGUUUGUUCAGUCUUCCAACCUCCAAACCUAUCGGGAGGUUGUGAACCGCGCACUCAUAGUGGAGAGUGGCGCGGCAGAUCUGCAGGAGCGGCGAGAGGCCCUGGACAAAGGCAAGGGCAAGAGGCCCGCGACUGAAGGUGCGAGCCAGGCGCACUUUGGGAGGCCGCCGAGGCAUCCGAGACACUGGAGCUAGUCGCGAGGACGUGGCCAGUCUACUCAGCGAGGAGGACCUAAUCGACGCCAGGCUCCGCGCUGCGUGAUCUGCGGUGGUCCCCAUUUUCCACGGCAGUGUUCACGCAGUCUGGGCAAGUGCUACUUGUGUGGUCAAGAGGGCCACUUCCAGUCGGACUCCCCGAGGAGUCCAGCACCAGUGCCAUCUUCGGCAUCUGCACCAGCUUUACCGGGUCCUAGCCAGGGGACACUUUCUGCGCAUCACCAGGCUGGGCGGCCGUUAGUUCAGCGGUAGGCGGAGGGGUCACGACAGGCCCCGAGUGGGCGCAUGUAUGCGGCCCAGACUAAGGAGGCUGCGGCAGUCGAGAAUGUGGUCACAGGUAUUAUUUUAUUUUAUGGUAUUCGAGUACGAGCAUUAUUUGAUACCAGUGGAUCGCAUUCAUUUAUAAACUGGCUGUUUGCCGAAUUGCAUGGCAUCCCACUGACAUCGUUGUUUCAUCCGGGACGAGUCAUAGUACCCGAUCACUCUUUGGAUAUCCGAGAGUUUUGCCCCAGUUGCCCUGUUCGGGUUGGAGAUUGGAUCAUGCCCGUGGACUUGCUAGCUUUGCAUAAACUCGGAGAGUUUGAUGUUGUUUUGGGCAUGGAUUGGUUGACCAAGUACUACGCCACUAUUGAUUGCAUGAAUCGAACAGUGACGUUUAAAGAGCCGGGGCAGGAAGAGGUUGUGUAUCGAGGAUGCCAGAGUUCGCUGUUUGCGAUGACGAUUAGCUCCUCUCAUGCUAGGCAGUUGAUCAGCAGAGGCUGCAUAGCCUAUUUGGCUACUGUUGUGUUGCGGGGCGAUGCAGACGCCCCUAGGAUUGAGGAUAUCCCCGUGGUAUGAAAGUUUGGAGAUGCAUUUCCAGCAGAGCUUCCAGGCAUGCCACCUGAUAGGGAGAUUGAGUUUGUGGUAGAUCUCAUUCCUGGGACUACCCCAAUCUCAAAGGCGCCCUAUAGGAUGGCACCAGCGGAAUUGAAGGAGCUGAAGGCACAGUUGCAGGAUCUUCUGGACAAGAGUUUUGUGCAACCGAGUGUGUCACCUUGGGGAGCACCGGUUCUGUUUGUGAAGAAGAAGGAUGGAUCACUUCGCUUGUGCGUGGAUUAUCGUGAACUCAAUAAAGUCACAAUCAAGAAUAAGUAUCCAUUACCGAGGAUUGAUGAUUUAUUUGAUCAGCUCCAGGGAUCUAGUGUGUAUUCCAAGAUCGACUUGCAGUCGGGAUACCAUCAGUUGAAGAUCAAGCCUGAGGAUGUGUCGAAGACGGCUUUUAGAACACGGUAUGGACAUUAUGAGUUUACAGUUAUGCCGUUUGGGCUUACUAAUGCCUCGACAGCUUUUAUGGAUUCGAUAAACCGUGUUUUCAAGCCUUAUUUAGACAGGUUCGUCGUGGUAUUCAUCGACGACAUUUUGGUUUAUUCCCGAAGUGAUGCGGAUCACGAGGAAUACUUGAGACUUGUACUUCAAGUGCUUCGGACAAAGGAGCUCCAUGCCAAAUUGAAGAAGUGUGAGUUUUGGCUUAGAGAGGUGACGUUUUUGGGCCAUUUGCUUUCAGGAUCAGGUAUAGCUGUGGAUCCUAGAAAGAUUGAAGCCAUCAAGGAUUGGCCGAGGCCGACGAGUGUCACCAAGAUUCGGAGUUUUCUUGGCUUGGCCGGCUACUACCGACGGUUUGUCGAGGGAUUCACAAAGUUAUCUACUCCCCUUACAAGGCUUACGCAUAAAGGCACCAAGUUUGUUUGGAAUGAUGCAUGUGAAAGGAGCUUCCAAGAAUUGAAGCAGAGAUUGACGACCGCCCCGAUCCUAACCGUGCCAACUGCUGGAGUAGGGUAUGUGGUUUAUAGUGAUGCUUCCUUUAAUGGAUUGGGCUGUGUCUUGAUGCAGGACGGGAAAGUGAUCGCGUAUGCAUCCCCCCAACUGAAGGAUUAUGAAAGAAACUACCCUACUCACGAUUUGGAGUUGGCGGCCGUAGUCUUUGCAUUGAAGCUGUGGCGCCAUUACUUGUACGGCGAGUGAUGCGAAGUAUAUACGAAUCACAAGAGUUUAAAGUAUCUAUUCACUCAGAAGGAGUUGAACUUGAGGCAGCGCAGAUGGUUGGAGCUACUCAAGGAUUAUGAUUUGACGAUACUUUACCACCCGGGCAAGGCUAACGUGGUGGCGGAUGCGCUAAGUAGGAAAUCGACGGAAAACUUAGUGAUGCUUGUUGUUACUCAACCGCCGUUGAUCAAGCAGAUGAAGCGGUUGGAGUUGGAGGUGGUGGCAACCUGAUACACCCUUGAGACUGAUGACCUUGGUGGUGCAACCUACACUUUUGGAAAGGAUUAAAGAAAAGCAAGUCUCCGAUGUGGAGUUGCAACGGAUAAGAGCUAAGAUGAUUGAUGGUUGCACCGGUGACUUUUCUGUAGACGGUGUUGGAUUGAUGCGUUUCCGUGGACGGAUCUGUGUACCAGCAGAAUCGGCACUUAGAGAAGAAAUUCUUCAAGAGGCACACCGAGCACCGUAUGCUAUACAUCUGGGAGGCACCAAGAUGUACAAGGACUUGAAGUUGCUUUAUUGGUGGCCUGGGAUGAUGAAAAACGUUGGUGAGUUUGUUGCUAGAUGUCUAACUUGCCAACAGGUGAAAGCUGAGCACCGAAUUUCCGCGGAAAAAUUACAGAGCUUACCGAUUCCUGUGUGGAAAUGGGAGAAGAUCACCAUGGACUUCGUGAUGGGAUUGCCCCGCUCACAGGCCGGGCAUAAUGCUAUUUGGGUGAUUGUGGAUAGGUUGACGAAAUCGACACAUUUCAUACCUAUCCACACCACUUGGACUGGUGAGAGACUUGCACAGGUAUAUUUGGAUGAGAUUGUGCGAUUGCACGGGGUACCUACUUCUAUAAUAUCAGAUCGAGACCCCCGAUUUGUAUCUCAUUUUUGGAGGAGCUUACAAGAUACUUUGGGUACGCGCUUUGAUUUCAGUACCGCUUUCCACCCCCAGAGUGAUGGGCAGUCAGAGCGCACUAUACAGACUCUCGAGGACAUGCUUUGAGCCUGUGUGAUUGACUUCGAGGGAGGAUGGUCGCAGCAUCUACCGAUGGCAGAGUUUGCUUGUAACAACAGUUAUCAAGCAAGCAUCAAGAUGGCACCUUUCGAGGCACUCUAUGGACGAAAGUGUAGAUCACCACUUCAUUGGAGUGAAGUUGACGAGAGAUUGGUUUUCGGCCCAGAUGUGCUCUAGGAAGCAGAGAGCAAGGUUCGCAUUGCUCGGGAGCGACUGUUGACAGCCUAGAGUAGGCAGAGGAGUUAUGCUGAUAGGCGUCGACGAGACUUGGAGUUUCAGAUUGGUGAUCAUGUCUUCUUGAAAGUCUCGCCGACCAGAGGGAUUAGAAGAUUUGGGAUCCGGGGUAAGUUGAGCCCCCGAUACAUUGGACCGUAUAAGGUUUUGGAGCGUGUAGGCCCGGUGGCAUAUCGACUUGCUCUACCACUGAACCUAUCGGGUGUACACAAUGUAUUUCAUGUAUCGGUCCUUCGGAAGUACAUCCAUGAUCCGGCUCACAUGUUGGACGCUACACCUUUGGAGCUGAGGGAUGAUUUGAGCUUUGAAGAGCAACCUUUGAGAAUUUUGGCUCGCGAAGUAAAGAGAUUGCGGAACCGUGAGAUUCCCUACGUGAAGGUGCUUUGGAGCAACCAUGAUGAGCGCGAGGCCACUUAGGAGUUGGAGAGCACGCUGCAGGAGCGCUAUCCCCAUCUUUUUCAGAUGGAGGCUUGAGGUACCUUGCUUUUCGAGUUUCGCAGACAAAACUCCUUAUUAGGAGGGGUGAAUGUAACACACUGGACCUUUGCAAAUUGCGAGGUUCGAGUGUUUGGGUUGAGUUAUGAGUUUUUUCAGAUUUUCUAGUGGGUCAUUGACAGUGUUUUGACCUAUGGCUCGUACCCCGAGAAUUGAGGUUUGAAGCUUUGCACCAAAACCCGAAAGUCGAAUUUUUGGUCAGCUCUCGGGUAGCCUUCUGCAGGCUGCGUACCGGUACAGGGUUGAUGGCUGUACCGGUAUAGGGUUGAUGGCUGUACCGGUACGCGGGCCUGUGUACCGGUAUACUGUGGCAGAAUCUGAAUGGUCGAACUGCAGGGGUGUUUUUGCGAUUGUGGCUUUCUAUAACACCACCCACGCCCCUUAGAGCCUCCCCUGAGCUGAAACUAGUGGAGAGCAAGGUAGGACUCCUCUCCUCCUCUCCUCUUUGGUUUAUUCUUUCCUUUUUACUUGGGAUUUAAGGUUUGAUUUCCUCUUUUGCUCCUUGGUGAUAUUUCCACCUUGGUUGAAGCUUGAAGCUUGGAUUUGGAGCUUGGUUGAGGGAAGAUCUUUGAAGUUUGAAGACUUAGAGCUUGGAUUGAAGCUUUCAAGAGGUUGGUAACAAGUUUCUUUCAUUUAGAUUCUUGUUUUGAUGGUUUCUUUGAGAUGAAACCCUAGAAUGAGGUUUUAGGGUUGAUUUUGGGCAUUUUGGAUCUAGGGCUUUUGGAGCUCAAUCUCUUGGAUUAGAACCUUCCUCUAGGUUGGAUUGGAAGGGUUCUAGCCCUCUUUUGGAGCUUAAGAAGAGAUUUCUUCAUUGAAGGUGAGUUUUGGCACUUUUCUUGAGACGGUUAAAGAUCGAGCUAGGGAUUGUUCAUAACGUUCGUUUCUCUCUUCUUUCCUUACCUUUAGGGUGCUAGAGGACUUGGGGACAACUUCGUUUGAGCUUACGAAGGGUUCCGAGAUGCUUCGGUGGGUUUGACCUAGCCGCACAAUGAGAAAUUCUCAUUUGUGAUGAUUUGAGUAUCAUAAAAUGGAAAAACAUGCAUAUUCAUGUUAAAUGUAUUUAUUAUGAAUUUUAGAAUGCUUAAAAUGCCUAUGUUACAUAUAAUGCAUUUUGGAUCUCUAUGUAGUGGAGAGUUGCAUGUGGGGCUUAUGGUUGCAUUUAGCAUUCCGUGUGGGAUUUGGGACCAUGUUUCCUAUAGUAGAAAUGACAUAUGUUGUCACGCCCCCGCCCCGAGGCCACUACCAAUUUGGUCUGGUUUGGGCGCGGCGGACGGACGCCGAACGGACAGUACCUCCCCUGUUCGCCCAAGGCUAAACAACCUGAUCAAUUACAAUUAAGCGCCCAGGAAUUUGCUUAAAUAACAUACAUGAUCAAUUAUGAUGUACACAAGUGCAAUACAGCUAAGAGCAAAAACCACAAGUAAUAUACAAGUGUAUAAAGAGAAAUAGUCUAGCUAUUACAACCAUUCAACAUUUACAUAAGUUGAUUACAUUACAUUUUCAUCUUUCAAAAUAUAAAUACAUGUUUUUCUCCAAAAUACAAGUAGCUCUCCGAUAACGAUCGAAACAUCUUCUAGUACACGAGGGUACUCUAAUGCAUAAGGAAAAGCUACUAACUAAGCUUAUUUAGGGCGCUAUGCCCUUGCCGCGAUUCUCGCUCGGCUCGCCCCUGUGUGUACCUGUACCCCAAAACCACAUGGGGUGAGAACUAUAUAAAUAUAGUUCCUAGUGGGUUCGGCCUCCGACUCUGCCGGUUUUCCCAUUAGGUGUAAGCUGGUACAGAUAGAGAGAUAGAUAGAUAUAUAGAGAAAUGAACUGCAACUACUCUAUCAUGCCACCAAUGAUAAUAAUGCAUACAACAACUACUAUCAUGCUAGUAUCAUGUCAUGAGUAUAGAAAAGUACAUAGCAAUGCAAAUUACAACAUACACUAUGUCUACUCAAGGUAAUAAUGCAAAUCUACUAUGCAUUCCAUGUUUAUUACCCAAUCUACUUGGCUAACCCGUAGGUUAUGCCCUCGACUCACUCUCAAUCUCAUAGGUGAGGAGAAGCUGCACUCGCACACCGAGACCGUCUGCGGGACAACUACGUCUGCCCCUAGUGAAGUACUCCGGAGACUCGUACCACGGUGGAGCGACACUGACAGCGAAAACAGACUAAUGAGUAUGAUCCAAUCCUCACAAGAGGAUACCCUAUCUACAAAGGUCAACGUGCCUCUGCUGCACAUUAUACAAUGCAUCUUAGAUGCUGGGAUCUCUACUAUCCCUAGAACCAUGUCAUGUUUACUACACUAGACUCGAUGCCACUCGUUCGAUCAUUGUAGUAAGUUUUCUAGCUAGUUGACAUGCUACUCGUUCUUGUUUAGUGUUUCUACUACACUAGUUCAAUGCCACUCUACUAGGCUAACAUAUGUCCAAGUUCGGCUCUUUAUACCUGUUGAGUCAGUUAGGCGCGAACAGCUGGCAUGCCGAGUCCAUAUCCAUAAGACGGCUAAAACGGUAAACCUAGAAUACACCGGACGCAUGCGAGUCGCACUGGACCGAGAAGUUAUAACAACCGCAAGCAGUUACGAGCGGUUUCGAUCGGCCGAAGGUGGUCCUACGAAUCAGGAGAUAGUGGCUGAUCGUGCAAGAGCAAUAACUAACGCAAAGGCGGUUCUAUAAAUAGGCAUACGAUACCCUGAAAAAGGGUCUUCGCCCUUGCGCACAAAAGACCACCUUUAUUUUCCUGUAUCUUUCUAUUCUCGCAUUUACCGCUUUCCUUAGGAGUAGUUCCGGUAAUUUAGCAUACUAGGAGUCUAUCUGCCCUACGUGCAUCACUCCCCUGUUCCCAUACUCGGAGUCUGUUUGCCCUACGAGCAUCACUCCCUUGCUCGUGUACUUUUUCCCAUUUGCUAUUCAAUAGAAAGUCAUUUUCGGCUCUUCCUGCCGAUCAGAUCACAAGUUGUUUAGCCAUUCGGCUCAUUUCUUAAUCGAAUUCUGGGCUUCCCCUCUCCAUUCAGCUCAUCGAGCCGAAGCGAAUUUACUGUGGAGGAUUUCGAACCCGGCUGAUUCGAUCUCUCAUCGGCCUAAUCGCUUGAUCCUUUAUGGGCGCAUACUUCGAGGGUCAUAAUCCGCAGCCGUCUCGCACCCCGACGUUCUUCCUGAGGAGAAUUCUUGACCGGGUCAAGGGUCGGGACAUUCGGCGCGCAAUAAUUUUUUGGCACGCCCGGUGGGACACAUUUUUUGAGGUAAAUCUGCAUUUUAUAUAAAACAUGGCUGAUGAUAACGCCAUGAAUCUCCGUAACAGGGCUAUUCCCAGAAAUUCUGGGAGCGAACAGCCCAGCAAUUCGAAAAAUAAUGUAGAGCGCCAGGCGGUUUUACCUGUUGAGGGUGAGACUAGUGGUCAAUCUGACCAACAGGAGCCUAGUUUGACCCAAGCGCUUGGUCAAAUGACUCGGGUCCUACAAACUUUGGACCAAAAUAGUCAUGCGAGUACUGCACGGCUGGAUGCCGUUUUGGCCGCAAUCACGGCCUCUAACGAGAACAUAGCCCGAAUAGGGCAAUUGUUAGCUCGGAAUGAACAGCCGAUAGCAGGCCUACAAGCGCCUGUGAUAACGCCAAUGUUACAGAAUCCAGUAACACCGGUAGUUCGGCAGCCCGAAUACCAGUGGCUACAGUAUCAAGCGGCUUAUAGGCCGGCUGUUGGUAAUGCUGGUCAACAGCCGGAAGUGGCUUGGGGGUUACCUCCACUUCGUCCAGUUGCAGCCUACCUGCCCCAAAAUGUAGGGGCUAGGGGGCAGGUUUUGAAUGGGCAAGGGAUUAAUCCCUUAGCACAAAAUCUCAGUGCACAACAACCACCGAAUCCGGUACCAGCGCAAGUUCCUUUCCAAGGAGUUAACAAUGAGAUAUAUGCGCAAAUAGAGGAGGCCAUCCGAAACACUUUCUGUCACGCCCCGGGACCGAUGCCAAUUUGGCCCGACCCGAGCACGACAAACAGACGCCGAACGGACAGAGUUUCCCCUAUCCGCCCAAGGCUCAUCACACGUACAUUUUCAUCAUUAGAGAAAAGCACUAGCGGAAACAUACACAAACAGCUUACACGAGGGUAAGCAAUAGCCAUAAGUGAAAGAAAGGAAAACUAAACAUUCACAAGUAAUAUGAUUCAUUUUAGAUCAUAUACAUUACAUCCAUCUUUUACAUUUAAGAUUCUUGCUGUUCUUACAUAAUCUCAUCAUUUCUUUCUUACAACACAUUUACCUCAAAAUAAGCUUUACAUUCUUUCUUUACAUCACAAAUCAUCAAAUACAAAAGAUGAUAAAAGGGUGUCUACUAACAAAAUGUAAACCCAACUCUGGUGGCCUCUGACUAAGGCGCGAUACCUUUACCUCGGUCGCUCGCCGGCUCGCUCGGUCCCGGCUCUGUGGAAAUAGUGGGGUGAGAACUACAACAAAGUUCCCAGUGGGUUCGGCCUCAAUAUCACCGACUUUCCCACUAGGACUAACUCAGGCAUAAUAGAAAGGAUAAGCUGAAAUAUGGUAACCAAUCUAUAACAUGAUGCUAAUAUGCCUGAANNNNNNNNNNNNNNNNNNNNNNNNNNNNNNNNNNNNNNNNNNNNNNNNNNNNNNNNNNNNNNNNNNNNNNNNNNNNNNNNNNNNNNNNNNNNNNNNNNNNNNNNNNNNNNNNNNNNNNNNNNNNNNNNNNNNNNNNNNNNNNNNNNNNNNNNNNNNNNNNNNNNNNNNNNNNNNNNNNNNNNNNNNNNNNNNNNNNNNNNNNNNNNNNNNNNNNNNNNNNNNNNNNNNNNNNNNNNNNNNNNNNNNNNNNNNNNNNNNNNNNNNNNNNNNNNNNNNNNNNNNNNNNNNNNNNNNNNNNNNNNNNNNNNNNNNNNNNNNNNNNNNNNNNNNNNNNNNNNNNNNNNNNNNNNNNNNNNNNNNNNNNNNNNNNNNNNNNNNNNNNNNNNNNNNNNNNNNNNNNNNNNNNNNNNNNNNNNNNNNNNNNNNNNNNNNNNNNNNNNNNNNNNNNNNNNNNNNNNNNNNNNNNNNNNNNNNNNNNNNNNNNNNNNNNNNNNNNNNNNNNNNNNNNNNNNNNNNNNNNNNNNNNNNNNNNNNNNNNNNNNNNNNNNNNNNNNNNNNNNNNNNNNNNNNNNNNNNNNNNNNNNNNNNNNNNNNNNNNNNNNNNNNNNNNNNNNNNNNNNNNNNNNNNNNNNNNNNNNNNNNNNNNNNNNNNNNNNNNNNNNNNNNNNNNNNNNNNNNNNNNNNNNNNNNNNNNNNNNNNNNNNNNNNNNNNNNNNNNNNNNNNNNNNNNNNNNNNNNNNNNNNNNNNNNNNNNNNNNNNNNNNNNNNNNNNNNNNNNNNNNNNNNNNNNNNNNNNNNNNNNNNNNNNNNNNNNNNNNNNNNNNNNNNNNNNNNNNNNNNNNNNNNNNNNNNNNNNNNNNNNNNNNNNNNNNNNNNNNNNNNNNNNNNNNNNNNNNNNNNNNNNNNNNNNNNNNNNNNNNNNNNNNNNNNNNNNNNNNNNNNNNNNNNNNNNNNNNNNNNNNNNNNNNNNNNNNNNNNNNNNNNNNNNNNNNNNNNNNNNNNNNNNNNNNNNNNNNNNNNNNNNNNNNNNNNNNNNNNNNNNNNNNNNNNNNNNNNNNNNNNNNNNNNNNNNNNNNNNNNNNNNNNNNNNNNNNNNNNNNNNNNNNNNNNNNNNNNNNNNNNNNNNNNNNNNNNNNNNNNNNNNNNNNNNNNNNNNNNNNNNNNNNNNNNNNNNNNNNNNNNNNNNNNNNNNNNNNNNNNNNNNNNNNNNNNNNNNNNNNNNNNNNNNNNNNNNNNNNNNNNNNNNNNNNNNNNNNNNNNNNNNNNNNNNNNNNNNNNNNNNNNNNNNNNNNNNNNNNNNNNNNNNNNNNNNNNNNNNNNNNNNNNNNNNNNNNNNNNNNNNNNNNNNNNNNNNNNNNNNNNNNNNNNNNNNNNNNNNNNNNNNNNNNNNNNNNNNNNNNNNNNNNNNNNNNNNNNNNNNNNNNNNNNNNNNNNNNNNNNNNNNNNNNNNNNNNNNNNNNNNNNNNNNNNNNNNNNNNNNNNNNNNNNNNNNNNNNNNNNNNNNNNNNNNNNNNNNNNNNNNNNNNNNNNNNNNNNNNNNNNNNNNNNNNNNNNNNNNNNNNNNNNNNNNNNNNNNNNNNNNNNNNNNNNNNNNNNNNNNNNNNNNNNNNNNNNNNNNNNNNNNNNNNNNNNNNNNNNNNNNNNNNNNNNNNNNNNNNNNNNNNNNNNNNNNNNNNNNNNNNNNNNNNNNNNNNNNNNNNNNNNNNNNNNNNNNNNNNNNNNNNNNNNNNNNNNNNNNNNNNNNNNNNNNNNNNNNNNNNNNNNNNNNNNNNNNNNNNNNNNNNNNNNNNNNNNNNNNNNNNNNNNNNNNNNNNNNNNNNNNNNNNNNNNNNNNNNNNNNNNNNUUUUCUUCCUUUCUUCUUCUUCUCCUUUGUCUUCUAGAGAGAGAGAGGGAGAGAAGAGAGUGUGAGAGGGUGAGAAAUGAGAGAAAAACCCCUCAGCCCCCCUAACAUAGCUCAAUGGGUUGCCAAAAUGCAAAUAAACCCCUCAACUUUCACUUUAAUACACUGCCCGAACUGGGCAUUCCGCGCAGGCAGAGACCGGUCUCCCCGAGCAGGGACCGGUUCCCGAACGUCCACCCUGCGCAGCCAGAGCUGCUGCGCGCAGUGCAACCGGUCUCUCCUUAUGGGACCGGUCUCUGGGGGACCGGUCUCUCAGGCAGAGACCGGUUCCCGAGAGCUAUCCUUCCAGGACUUAGCCGAUUUUUCGGCUGUCUCAUUUCAUACGUGUUCGGGGACCGGUCUCUCCCUUUAGGGACCGGUCCCCGAGAGCUGAAAAUCUGCAGUUUUGCAGAAUUGAUUCUUUAGCUCUCGAAAACCUUCCACAACUCACUUUCGAUCAUUUUAGCACCUUCGGACUUUCCGAAGUGUACCGUCCUCGCACUUUGGUCAAUUUGACUAAAGUUCGAUAUUUAUUUUCCGAAUUUUCGGUAUAUUACACUUUCGGAGUAGGCACAAGGCUGGCAAUGCGGCUUGUAUUUAGAUCACCAUAUCCUGCAAAUAUAGAUGUAGAACACCCAUAUCCGGCAAAUUGGAAGAUGCCGAAAUUUGACAAAUUCUCCGGCGAUGAGACCGAAAAUACGGUCGAACACGUCGCUCGAUUUACAGCCCAAUGCCGCGAAGCAGUGGCAGAUCCUUUUUUAAAAUUAAGGUUAUUCAAUACCUCACUGACCAAGACUGCCUUCACUUGGUAUACAAGUCUAUCUGCUAAUUUCGUCCGAGACUGGGACGAAUUAGAGGGAAAAUUUCAUGAGCAAUUUUAUAGAACCGAGCCGGAGUUGUCGGUUGCAGACUUGGCUCAAUUUAGACAAAAAACAGGAGAAUCGGUUGAUGAAUAUUUAAACCGAUUCAAGACGGCUCGAAGCCGAUGUUUUGUAAGGAUGCCGGAAUCAGAAUUUGCCAAAAUGGCAUUUAACGGCAUGCAUUUUAAGAUUAAAGAUCAUUUUGAUGAUAAGUUUUUUCCAAAUCUUUUUGAUUUAGGAGUUCGAGUUGCUCAAUACGAGCAAUUUCGAAAAGGGAAUAAUGAAGAUCGGCCUAGAUGGAGCCGAAACAAGGAUUGGAACAAACGCAAAGAGAAAUAUUUCUUUCUUUGAAGAGUCCUCGGCUCAUGAAGAGCCGAAUUCAUCUGAAGAGGCAGAAGAUUCGGCUGAUGAGGCCGAAAUCUGUGCUGCCGAGAUGAUAAGAAACAGUCAACCGUAUAAAUGUGCUUUGCUAAAACCUGCAAAGUCAAGAGAAGCAAAAGCACAAAUAUCAGCAUUUAGUUAUUCAUUUGACAUAGCAAAGACCGAUCUUAUUUUCGAUCGGUUGUUAAAGGAUGGACGAAUUAAACUACAGGAAGGCCAAACCAUACCUCCUGUAGAAUAAUUAAAACGCAGAAGAUAUUGUAAGUGGCACCAUUCAUGGAGCCAUAAGACUAGUGAUUGCACUGCCUUCAAAAGGCAGAUUCAAAAGGAAAUAAAUGAAGGUUGGCUUAUCUUUGCCGACCAAGAAAAUAAAGACAUGGAAAUUGAUAAGAAUCCUUUUCUAUCACAGGUCAACGCCGUGAACAUGAAAGGGAAAGGAAAGGCGAUUACGAAAAGGUAGAUCCAAGAAGAAAUAGAAGAGGGUCAGCUCAUAUUGGCCGACCAGGAAAACGAAAAUAAAAUAAUUAACAAAAGUUCAUUUCCAUUUCAGGUCAAUAUGGUGAAUAUUAAAGAAAAAGAAGUUUUGGACAAGGAGACCGCUGACAACGUGGCCCAUGCCAAGAAACGCCUUCGGCUAUGCAUCAGGUGCAAGGUCGAAAUGACGAAGAAAGACUGGGAAGCCAUCGUGAAUGCCAAGAAAAGGGGGAAUGAAUGGAAUGAGCUGAUGGCCUUCCUUGAGGAUUGGGAUGACAUUCCUGAUGGCGAAGACCAAGAAGAAGAAGGCUCGGAUGCAGUCUCUAAUGAUACUGAACCGGAAGUAGAUUCGGUUCAACGCAAGAAAGAUAUGCUCAUGCAGAAGAUUCUGCAUGAUUACUACAACAACAGGUGUGGAGAACGUCAUGGCCGAUGGGACUACCAGGAUAGACCAUUCGGCUCCAAGCAAAGGUUUCCUAGAUAUCGGCCGCACUGGCAACAGCAAGCCAGGCCGAGACUAGAACCCGAAUUUGAAGGAAUGACCGAGGGAGACAUAGAAUUCCUCGGUCGGAGGUUAGUCAACGAAUUCGGCAUUCAGCCUUGGCCGAGACCAUGGAAAAGAAGAGAAAUUCUAAACAAUCAUUUAAGAACAGUAAAAGUACCGGCAAACGUGCCAGUGGAUGAAUGGCACGAAGUCGAAGUUAAACCAUCGGCCAGAUGGCAGGGGCCGAUGUUAACAAAAACCCAAAAGCGUCGGCAGCAGAGGAUGCAGGCCGAGGCACGUCAACAUUAUGAAGAGGCGAAAGAGAUGAGGCUCAAUGUAUGGAGACGCCAGGAUGAGCAGCCACACCCUUUUCGUCUGAUGAGAAAUGACCAUGAGGCAGGCGGCUCAUCGCCUGCCUUACAGUUGAAGUCAAGAAUAAAAUGGCCAACCGAGGCCGAGUUAGAAGAGAAAAUGACCAGGAGGGAGUUGGAAGAUAAAAUAGCUUCCCUCGAGACGAUGAUCAAGAGAGAAAGAUGGCCUCCUAAAGAGAGGGAGGUCCGUAUGGAGAGCGACUCUUCAGCCGAAACGGCCAAGGAGUCAGAAGAGAAGAAACAGAGAGUCAAAGGAAAAUCGGUUGACGAAUCACCGGCCGAGGUGAAUAUGGUGUACGCUCUGCCUCAAUCCUUCAAAGCAGAGUUUGUUGAGUCCGAGAAAUUCAGAGAAGAGGAAGAAAAUGGGCUUACAGUAGCCCAAUUGCACCUAGAGGAUGUUCGACAGGCCAAUGCGGUGGUUUUUGGGAAACCAUUGGCCAUACAGAAGAGGUUCAUCAGGCCUCUCUUUAUAAAAGCUUUAAUAGAAGGCCGGCCGGUAGGCCGAGUUAUGGUAGACGGCGGCGCUAUGGUCAAUGUGAUGCCUACUUCUUUUUUCAAGAAGUUGGGCAAAGAUGAAGACGAAUUGAAGCCCACCGAUUCAAUCAUGACCGAUUUUACAGGAAACGGUCAACAAGCUCGAGGAGUGCUCACCACCGAACUCACGGUAGGUUCAAAAACUCUAAAAACUGCGUUUUUCGUAGUGGAUGUAGAUAGCCACUACAAUUUGCUAUUGGGAAGAGAUUGGAUACACUCAAAUGAGUGUGUACCCUCUACACUCCACGAAAAAUUGUUCCAGUGGAGAGGAGACAACGUAGAAGAAGUCAGGGCCGAAGGACGGCCUCAAAUGAUAGAUGUCAACAUGGAGGACAUCGGUCACACCAAUUGGGCCGAUGCUGAUCCAGAUCAGAUUUCGUUUGUGAGAGUGACGGAGGAGGGGAUUCAAUUAAUUCUCUCCAAAGAUAUCAAUGCUAUCGUGGCUGAUGAAGAGCCACCUAAAUGGUUAAAGUGGAGUCCCAAAAGUCGAGAAUAGAGGCUGGGCAUAAGCCUCUACAGAACGAGCCGAUCAACAAGAUCGGCUAUGGAGAUGAUUCGGCUGCUAUAGCCGAUGUGUUACCACCUGACAAUUCGGCUAAUAAGGCCGAGAAAACCAUAAAGGAUUUGGCUUAUAAAGCCGAAGAAGAAGGCCAAAUGAAAUCGGUCAUGGAGACUGAUGAAUCAUAUGAGAUGAAUAGGCAAACAGCGAAAAUGAAGCUAGAAGAAUCGCCUAUUAAAGUCGACGAGAAAAAGCUGGAGAUCCAGGAUUUGUUGAUAGAGGUAAAUCUGGGGUCCCAUGAAGACAACAAGCCGACGUUUAUAAGUUUCAAGUUGUCGGCUCAGCAACAGGAAGAAUUGAAGAAGCUGUUGAAGGAGUACAAGUAUUUCUUCGCCUGGAGCUAUGAAGAAAUGUCAGGCCUAAGCUGAGAGAUCGUAGAACAUCGGCUGCCCAUCAAAAAAGGGUUCAAGCCUUUUAGACAACCAGUUCGUAGGUUUGAGCUGAGUAUUGUACUUCAAAUUAAAAAUGAAAUUGAAAAUCUUUUAAAGGCCGGAUUUAUUAGAGCGGCCCGUUAUGUUGAUUGGGUAUCUAAUAUAGUUCCAGUGCGUAAAAAGAAUGGCAAACUUAGAGUUUGUAUUGAUUUUAGGAACUUGAAUUUAGCUACACCUAAAGAUGAAUAUCCAAUGCCAAUAGCCGAUAUGUUAGUAGAUUCGGCUGCAGGUAAUGAAAUCCUGUCCUUUAUGGAUGGACAUGUUGGUUAUAACCAAAUUUACAUUGCUGAGGGAGACGUGGCUAAAACGGCUUUUAGAUGCCCCGGUUCAAUUGGAACCUUUGAAUGGGUUGUUAUGCCGUUCGGCUUAAAAAAUGCCGGAGCUACUUACCAGAGAGCAAUGAAUUUUAUUUUCCAUGAUUUAAUCGGCAAAAAGUUGGAAGUAUAUAUCGAUGAUAUAGUUGUAAAAUCCCAAUCACAAGCCGAACAUUGGAGUGAUUUGAAAUUCGCCUUUGAGAGAAUGAGAAAAUAUAAGUUAAAAAUGAACCCUUUGAAAUGCGCUUUUGGAGUUUCUGUAGGAAACUUUUUGGGAUUUUUAGUGCAUAAGAAAAGGAUCGAAAUUGAUAAAAAUAAGGCGAGAGCAAUACUAGAACUAUCGCCACCCAAGUGCAAAAAGAAGCUACAAAGUUUGCUGGGAAAGAUUAAUUAUCUUCGGCGGUUUAUAUCUAAUUUAGCCGGAAGGAUCGGGGUUUUUACUCCAUUACUUCAGCUGAAGGAUAAAGAAGAAUUCGUUUGGACAAAGGAACAGCAGGAGGCAUUUGAAAAAAUAAAAAGGUACUUAUCGAAUCCUCCAGUACUAGUACCUCCGAAGAUAAAUCAGCCGAUGAAAUUAUAUAUAUCGGCUGCAGAAGAAAAUUUGGGAUGCUUGUUAGCUCAAGAAAAUGAAGAAAAGGAAGAACAAGCCAUUUAUUAUCUAAGCCGACGUCUUUUAGAUACUGAAAAAAGGUAUUCGGCUAUUGAAAAGCUAUGUUUGGCUUUAUAUUAUUCAUGUACAAAAUUAAUAUAUUAUAUUUUACCAACUGAAGUAUCGGUAAUAUGUAAAACCGACUUGGUAAAAUAUAUGUUAUCUAAACCAGUAUUGAGGGGGCGGAUCGGAAAGUGGAUAUUAGUUUUAUCCGAAUUUUCUCUUAAUUAUGUUCCCGCCAAAGCUGUUAAAGGUCAAGCUAUAGCCGACUUUCUGGCUGAUCACCUAUGUGUAGAGAUUGAGGAGCCGAAACAAAGUUUAAUCGGCUGUCAGCCUUGGGUGUUGUAUUUUGAUGGUUCAAAAACAACCGAGUCUGCAGGAGCAGGGAUAGUGAUACAAUCUCCUGAAGGCCAUGUUUGUCAAUUCGCGUUUGAAUUAGAUUUCGGCUGUUCUAACAACCAAGCCGAAUAUGAGGCCUUGAUAAUCGGCCUUGAAAUAUUGUAAGAAUUGAAAGCAAAGUCAAUCAAAGUCAUCGGUGAUUCACAGUUAGUAAUCAAGCAGGUUAACGGGGAAUACCGAUGUGAGAAUCCGAAUUUGCAAAAUUAUUUGAGGAAGACAAUAGAAUUGUUAUGCAAUUUCGGAGAAGCCGAAUUUGAACAUUUGAACAGACAUGAAAAUGAGAAGGCAAAUGAAUUGGCCCAAUCGGCUUCAGGAUAUAGAGAGCCGAGGUCAGAGUUAAUAGUAAUACAAAGGAGAUUACUACCUUCGGUUCAUAUACGAGAACCGAUUAUAGCUCCUAUAGAAGUGAAAGAAGAUUGGAGAAAGUCAUUGAUCAAAUAUUUGGAGGAUCCUAAUAUAAGGGUCGAUUAUAAUAUUCGAAGAAGAGCUCUCGGCUAUUGUUUGUUGGAUGGUCAACUUUACAAAAGAACAGCCGAAGAAGUUCUAUUAAAAUGCUUAGGGCCUGAAGAAGCUCUAUUAGUAAUGGGAGAAACACAUGAAGGAAUAUGUGGAACCCAUCUAGCAGGAAAAAAGUUAAGAUGGACAAUUCGGCAUCUAGGAUAUUAUUGGCCGACUAUGCAUCAAGAUUGCAUAGAGUAUGCUAAGGGUUGCCAAGAAUGUCAAUUUCAUGGCUCGAUACAGAGGGUUCCUGCCUCUGAGAUGUACGCCAUAAUUAAACCAUGGCCUUUUCGGGGUUGGGCCAUAGAUUUAAUUGGAGAAAUUCAGCCGAAUUCUUCGGUUGGUCACAAAUUUCUAAUAGUAGCCAUCGAUUAUUUUACUAAGUGGGUGGAAGCCAAACCUACUCGGUUGGUUACUCAAAAAGAAAUUGUCGAUUUUGUAGAAGAUCAUAUAAUUCAUCGCUUUGGAAUUCCCGAGACAGUCACAACCGAUCAAGGGACAAUGUUCACAGGAGGACAGUUCGUUCGGUUCAUCGAGUCUCGAAAGAUAAAGUUGCUUCAUUCUUCGCCUUAUUAUGCCCAGGCAAAUGGACAAGUAGAAGCAGCAAAUAAAAUAAUUAUCAACCUUAUGAAGCGACAUAUCGGAAAACACCCGAGAAAGUGGAAUGAAAAACUUUCCGAAGUAUUAUGGGCAUGCCGAACUUCAGUGAAAACGGCAACAGGGAUGACACCGUUUCAGUUAGUUUACGGUCAUGAGGCCGUAAUUCCAGCCGAAAUAACAGUUCCUUCUUUGAGGAUAGAAAAACAAAAAGAUUUGUCGGCUGAUGAAUAUAGUAGUUUAAUGAUGGACAAAGCAGAAGAAGUAUGUGAUACUCGGCUGAUAGCUUUAGACAAUAUACAAGCAUACCAAAGCCGAGUGCGUAGCGCAUACAAUAAGAAAGUUCGAUCAAAGAUAUUUGUCGUCGGUGAUCUAGUACUUCGGCUGAUUUUUUCAAUCGGUCAAAAAGAUCGAAUGUAUGGAAAAUGGUCCCCAAAUUGGGACGGGCCAUUUCAGAUUAGCCGAAUCACAAGAGGAAAUGCAUAUUAUUUACAAAGCAGAGAUGGGUCAGAAAAUGAAAAACCAAUCAACGAAAAAUAUUUAAAGAGAUAUUACCCAUCCAUGUGGGAGAAUAAUUAAAAUCAGAGUUAGAAUAUUACAAGCCGAAUCAGGAUAGUAAGUCUUUGAGUUGAUUCCAUUCGGCUAUGAGAUUGACUUGGGCGGUUUCAGCAGUUUUCCUUCGGCGCUUCAUCAGAGGAUGAACUUUGUAAAGUUGAGAAAGCUCCUCUUUAAGCCUUAUCCCUUCUUCCUUUUUGGACUUCAAUAGAUCUUUUAGUUGAAGUCGGCGCUCAGAGGUUUGUGCGAGAGUAGAUUCGGCUGCGGCUAACUCUUCUUUAAGAGUAGAAAUCCGUUGUUGUAGAGCCGAUUCUUGAUCAGCCAAUUUCUUAUCCUCUUGAUGCACUUCAGUAGGCGGGGCUGCUAUAUCAGGGAUAUUCUUCUUAAAAUGAUCAACACGAUGAAAAUGUUGAUCUAAAACUACAAGUUCGGCGCCCAAAGAUCGCUGCCGAGCCAAAAAAGAUGAAAGUUGAAGUGAUAAGGUUGCUACAAAACAUUUUAUGCCGGGAGUAAUAUCUGAGCUAGACCAAAAAUACCAAUGCUAUACAUUUUAAGGCAUUCAUCGAACUUAUUUUGGAUGUCUGAUGAAAUGGUAAUGGUCGAAGAAUCAUCCCCUUCAUUGGAGCUGGGGCUUGAAAUCAAAAAAGAAUGAAGAAUCACAGAUAAAGGAUCAUCAGCAAUAGGGAAAGAAGCUCCCUGGGGCGAGCAGGGAGGAAUAGUGCUUGUGUCUUCGGAAGUUCGCCCGAGAGGUAUGUUUAUCUGUUCAUCCCUUGUAGUUGAUGUCGGGGCAGGAGCAGAAAGAGGUCAUGCAACCUCACUGGGUAACGGCGUCGUGCUCGCUGUUUCAACAAAUUUCUUCUUCUUUUCCAUCCCUCUCUUUUUCUCGAGACGGGCUUCCCUGUGAAACUGCCGUUCCAUCUGCAUCAUCGAAUAAUGAGCAAAAGGGGCUCGUUCAGGAGAAGACUGUAGUUUAAAAGAGAGUAAUAAAUAAUUAAGAAAUGUUCUUUUCGUACAACUAAUUAAUUUGGCUUACCCCAACAUCAAUCGUUUCGGUUGGAACAGAGGUAGCCAAAGAGGGUGUAGUAGCUUCUUUGGAUGGAAUGUCAGCCGAGGGAAUAUCCUCGGCUCUGUCUUUAGUGGUAUCAGCCGAAGGGGUACUUUCGGCUUGUUGAAAUUUUCUUUUAACAACUGACUUACGCCGUUUAGAAGACGGCGGGGGAGUGACUUGAACAACUUCGAUCGGUCUUUUGUCUGAAGUUGAGACCGAUGGAGAAGCAGGAAUCGACUGAAAAUAGAUAUAAACAAAAAUGAUGAGCAAAGAAAAAAUUAUGAUUAAGAUGAGUAGAGAAAUGAUAUUUUACCGAGGAAGAAGGCGGGGCAUCAGAAAUAGUGUCUGGUGGAGACUCAAUCUCGGUUGGAGAAUCUCUGCUCGGAGUCGUGGCUGUGUAUAAAAUAAAAGAUAAGUUACAGCCAUAUUAGAAGAAAAUUAUAAACAAAUAUUAUAUGACUAACCAAGUGGAUGGAUGGUUUUGGGGAAUGCCCGAGGCAGAGAAAGAUCGAAGGAGCGGUCGGUAAACUGAUCCCACGUGGUAGCAUAGCCGGCAAGGGCUAUCCCUGUAUAGUGCUAACUGAAAGAAGCGUCUGAGACGAUUCCCUAUAGCCGAAAGCUUAUCAGCUUCAAAUAUGCUCUUAGUGGGAGGACGAUGAUCGGCUGUGUUGGCCGUAAAAAAUUUAGAAGAAGCCGGGAUCGGCUGAACGAACCUAAAUUGCCGCGCCACAUACUGAGGGGAAUAAACCUUAGUACUCGGCAGUAGUUUCGAACGUGAUUUAAGCCCCACAUGAAGGUCCCGGGGGGCUAGAUACGAAUACCAUACAUCCGAAUGUUCACCGGCGCGAGAAGAAGAAAGCUCGCCCUGAAUGGCUUCAAACGGAGCCAGGAACCAAGAGGGGCCGGUGAGACAAUCAACAAAUGGAGCCCAAGAAAUAGCUGAAUCAGAGGCUGGCUCAUAAAACGUCUUGAAAUAAGUAAGAAAAUCAGAGGGCUGACAAGAGGUCAUCGGCUGUGGACAACCGAGAGCUAGCCCAUAAGAAUCAAAUUGGGCAGCUGAAAUCGGAUUGAAAGGGGAUUGGCAUAAAGCAGGAAUAUAGAAUUGAAGAAACAUUUGCAGAAACCAAAAAACGCCACACCCAGAGCUGAUGGCAAUGCCAUCACCAGAAGGUAGUGGCUUAAUAGAAUCAAAAACUUCCCUGUAAACGAAAGCAAGGAAAUAUGGCCCCAAGGCCAAUUUAUCGCCGUUAGAUAAACCAACGACGAUCGGAACAAAAUCUCGGUUAAUUUUCUACCAACGAGUGCAUAAAAGAUUGUGGCAUAACCAGUAUAGAAGGAACGCCGUGUGUUCCUUCCUGGUGACUGGGGCAGGGGAUUCACCUGCAAAUUUUCGAAGAAAUUUGGAAUAAGCCAAAUCAUUUAGAUCAAGGUGUGCCUCAAAAUCAGACACACCGUCAGGAUUGUAGGCUAUAGAGAGAGUAAUGCCAUGAGGGCGUAAGCCAACAAUGGCGGCCACAUAAAAAAGAGUGGGGGUAAGAGGCCCCCUUUUGAAAAGAAAAAUAUUAGAAACAGGGGACCAGAAACAAAGAGCAGCGGCUAGAAGAAGAUUAUUGGCUAUAGGAGGGUGCCGAGAUAAUUGAAUUGCUUCAUAAAUGCCGAUUUCCCGCCAGAAGGCGCCAAAAACGGAUUCUACUCUAUCUAACCAGGCCAAAUAUGCUUCGGAAACACUAGGCCAGGUUCUGAGACUCUUUUCUGUUGAAGCUGAUGAGUACCAAGAAUGGGGAUGAAUAAUCCUUUUCAAAGGAAGUCCCUCAUCAGAGAAAGGGGAGUCAGUAGGAGAUGGUGCAUCUACAAGAGAAGGACCUAAUAUGAAUCUAGAUGGAUCUAAGUCAACGAAAGGUUUGAGUAUAGUAUAGUCAAGAGAUGGAUGAGAAGGAAGAGGAGGAACCAAAGACAUUGUUCAAAAGAAGAGAAGAGCCGAGAGAAUCGGUUACGAAAAGCGAAGAAGGAUGAAAGAGACAAAUAAGGGGUUUUAGUGAAGGAUAUGAGGAAAAGAAAUAAGAAUUGGAAGAGACAAAAAGAAUGGGAAGCUUGAGGAAGAAGAAAAGGCCGUCGUAUCGAACUGUCGCAUCGAUUACGAGUCCCAAGGUCGGCUAUAAUGAUGAAUAGACAGCGACAAUUAAGAUGAUUUAAUGCCGCACAUGAGACAAAAGUAGAGUAUGCGAUCAGAGCCGUAAAGAAGAGAAUAAACGGCUUAGAUUAAACCGUACAGAAGAUCGUAGUGUAGAAUACGUCAGAGAAUUUGAAUUUGAUUGGACCGAGAAAUACGCCUCGGAUCAAGCUCGCUUUCGGCAACAGAAAAUUGUUUGAGAUGAAAAAGGUAACGCCAGCUACUGAAGCAUCGCUUCGAAAACUGGCGAGGGGGCAAUUGUUGAGCUAGUUAGGCGCGAACAGCUGGCAUGCCUGGUCCAUAUCCAUAAGACGGCUAAAACGGUAGACCUAGAGUACACCGGACGCAUGCGAGUCGCACUGGACCGAGGAGUUAUAACAACCGCAAGCAGUUACGAGCGGUUCCGAUCGGCCGAAGGUGGUCCUACGAAUCAGGAGAUAGUGGCUGAUCGUGCAAGAGCAAUAACUGACGCAAAGGCGGUUCUAUAAAUAGGCAUACGAUACCCUGAAAAAGGGUCUUCGCUCCUGCGCACAAAAGACCACCUUUAUUUUCCUGCAUCUUUCUAUUCUCGCAUUUACCGCUUUUCUUAGGAGUAGUUCCGGUAAUUUAGCAUACUCGGAGUCUGUCUGCCCUACGGGCAUCACUCCCCUGUUCCCAUACUCGGAGUCUGUCUGCCUACGGGCAUCACUCCCCUGCUGGUGUACUUUUUCCCAUUUGCUAUUCAAUAGAAAGUCAUCUUCGGCUUUUCCUGCCGAUCAGAUCACAAGUUGUUUAGCCAUUCGGUUCAUUUCUUAGUCGAAUUCUGGGAUUCCCCUCUCCAUUCGGCUCAUCCUGCCGAAGUGAAUUUACUGUGGAGGUUUUUGAACCUGGCUGAUUCGAUCCCUCAUCGGCCUAAUCGCUUGAUCCUUUGUGGGCGCAUACUUCGAGGGUCAUAAUCCGCAGCCGUCUCGCACCCCGACGUUCUUCCCGAGGAGAAUUCUUGACCAGGUCAAGGGUUCGGACAUUCGGCGCGCAACAAUACCAUUAUAGGAUUUUCAUGUCACAAGACCCAAUCCUCAUGCUACCCUAGUCCAUGUGUUCGACUCAUAAAUUACACUACUAAGAAGCAUGCAAGGAAAAGAAAAUAUACAUCUAUUAAUCCUAUAAUGCAAUAUGAUCAACAUUUAUAUAACUUAGACAUAAAAAGAAAUCCGGAUGCUUUGGGAUGACACCCCCACCUCUUGAGGGUAUGGAGGCUCUAGAAACGCCCUCCAACGGACUUUACGACGAGGCUUUAGCCUUCUUGGUCUAAAUGAAGCUUGGUCGGUCUUGUUUUGCCAAUAGUUUUUUACCCGCUUUACGAAUGCAAAAUCCGACUUCGCCCCCGCGUUUAGGCACCUAGCAAAUAGGUUUACAUGGUCCCAAAUUAGAUCAAUCUCAUACUUUACCAAAAACCCUAUUUUGGAGCCCUAGGGUUAGCAUCAAGCCAAACCCAUCUCAAAACCCUAGAUUCUAGCUUCAAUCCCACCAUUCAUGGUGCUAGGGAUCCAUUUGAUCCCAUCCAAAGAGCUAAAACCCAAAAACCCUAAAUUCCACAACUAGGGGUAGAAGCCUACCUCUUGUUGUAGCUUCCAAAUGAGAAGAGAGGAAGAGGGAGAGGUCCCAAAAGCCUUCUUAGCUUGAUCUCCUACUACAACAAAAUUACUUUUUAGCGGUGAUUAUUUUUUAAAUUAGCGGCAAUUACAAUUGCCGCUAAAAUGUUUUGUGGCAAUUUUAACAAUUGCCGCUAUUGGUAGUGUCGCUAAAAGUUUUAGCGGCAUUUAUUCCGACGGUUGGUAAAAAUUCAAAUAAAUGCCGCUAAAUAUUAUACAAUAACAACUAUUAUAAAUGCCGCUAAAUAGUAUGCAAUAACAACUAUUAUAAAUGCCGCUAAAUACUAUAGAAUAACAACCAUUAUAAAUGCCGCUAUAAUUAAUAAUAAUUGCCGCAAAAUGCCGCUAUAAUUAAUUAUAAUUGCCGCAAAAAACAUAUUAAAUGAUUGAUAAAUAAAACUUAUAGCGGCAAUUAUAAUUAAUAUUAAAAUAUUUGAUUAACAACUAAAUACUACAAUGAAUUGAAAUAUUAAAAAAAUAGUAGUAACCAAAAAGCAUUAAUAAUUUGUAUAACAAAUAGUCUCAACUCUCAAAUUAUAAUUUCAAUAUUCAAAUUAAAUUUCGAACAUAAGUUCUAACAAAAAAUACUUGUUCAAAAUGUAGCAAAAAAAUAACAAAUACCGCAUGGUUGAAACUCUUGCUUCCCACUUCAAUUUCCGCAGCUCCAGCUGUUCUGGAUCAACCAAAAAAAAGUCAUAAAAUCAGUAUCCGAAUUUACCAAAUAAAAAUCAUCAUAUGGGCAAAUGAUUGAUAGUACGUAGUGCUAUACAGAUACAUGCAUGAAUAUCCUAAGAUGUUGUCUGGUGAAGCAUAGACUAUAUAUAGAUCUAAUCAGUGUGUUCUAAAUUCUACUUAAUAUUAAUUGGCGAGUUCCUGAUGCAGUGUCAGCAAUUUCUUCCAAGUAAGGUAAAUAAUAAAGUCGAAAACUUUUCAAAAAUGUAUAAGCAAUUGGCCUUCUAGAUAAUAGUGUCAUCAGUGACAGCAAUUCCUCAAAACAAAUAUAAAAGAGUAGUCAAACUAGAAAAUUUAGCAAUUCUUCAAAAUAAAUGAAGCAAAGCAUUUUAUUGGAUCACUAGUGAAGUUACCCGCGCAUUGCGGCGGGCUGAUACUGUAAGAGAUAGAAAAUUAGCAUAAGUAAAAUAUUUUAAACUUUUUUCACUUGUCAUGAGAAAUCAAUCAAUACAAAUAAAAGAUAUGAAACAAAUAUAACAAAAUUUAUAAUUUUAGCAAGUAAAUUACACGUAAUAAUAAUAAUAAAAAAACAGCAAUAGAACACUACUCCACAUACACCUUAAUUGCGCUGUCGAUAUCGGGAAGGCGAAUCCUGAUCCCCACUUCUCAUUCGCCACAACUGUUAGCGUCGAGCUUCUCUUCAAUCGCAGCAACACAUAUCUUAUUUUAUUUGUUUCUUUUAUAGAAUUAAUUUGUUUAGAUGACAAUAAAUAUGAACAUAUUAAUUAAGAAAUGAAUACGUGGGAAGACGAAACAUUAUGCGGAGAUAAAAGAUAAUAAAUUCGAUCAUUAGGAAUAAAGAAAAAGGCAAGAAUGGGGGAAGGAGGCAAGGAUGAAGGAGGCUUUGCCAUGUGGCAAAGUUUAUGAAGAAUAAUGUUGAGAUCGAAGCUUAGGUUUGAUCUCAUUCUAACCUAAUUGGUAGGUCAACGAACACAUCGGUGCGCUCGGUUCGACGAUACGACGAGCGUGCGCGAAGAUAUUGGGAAAAGAAGCUAAAUUGGUACAGAUUGUCGCAGCUUGCGGUGAAAGCAUCUAAAAAUUGUGGAAAAUUGCUUUUCGUCAUCCUUGAAAUACUAAAAGGUGGGGGGUGCUAUCCGAAAACAUCGGAUCUCUUUCUAUGUCUAUGUCCCUUUUAUUGAGCAUAUUGCUAAUGUAUAUUCAUGCAUGUAGGGUAGUAAAUGAAAUAUGGUUGGUUUUGCUCAAUUAUCUGUUUAAAGAUUAUUGUGAAUAGAUAAAGAACCAUGUGAAACAUAUGAGAAUGUAAGACCCUAUGUGCAUGUGAAUGCGAGAAAAGACUUGGACAAUAGUAAACAAAGGUGACAUUGACAUUAGUGACCUGAUUGGCACCGUGAUUGUUAAUGACUAAACAAGGUUUAGCUUAUUGUGGUAUUAGGGCCAUUGCGGCUUUAUACAUUGAGACAGGUUUGGCAAGAUUUCUUCAAAUUGAGGAUUGGAUCGUACUCACACUAGCUUUGGCUUGAGGAAGGUAGCUCCUUCUCAAGCGGUGUACUUCGGAGUGUAGACACCAAGGGGAGCAGCCCGGUCAUUGUUCCCUCGGGUGGUAGUGCUAGUAGCCUCCCCCGGUAGACGGGAAUGGUGGUCUGUGAGAUUUGAGGUGAACCAUGUGUACCUCGGGAUGAUUGGGUAAAGGCCAAAAGAAAAGAAAGUAAACGAGAAAGAACGUGCAUGCAUAAGAUCUAUGAAUUGAUUAUCUACCUAUCUGUUGACAGUUAUUUUGUUGGCAUUGUAUUAGUAAUUGCAUUAGAUGGUUUGAUAUCUACUCUUAUUGAAAUACAUAUGCCUGAGAUAGACCUAGUAGGCGAGUCGGCGCGGUCGGCGGCCGAACCCACUGGGAACUUCGUUCUAGUUCUCAUUACCACUAACUCUGCAGAUUCGUGCGCGAGCGGGGCGGCGGAGGAUCGAGGCAAGGGUAUCGCGCCGUAGAUAGCGGCCUCGGAGUUUAUAGGCAUACCCUAUAUUUUGGUGUAUUCAACUUUAGUAUGUUGAACUUGUAAUGUAAAGAAUGAUAAAGAUGUAAACUUUAUUUUGGUUAAAGGCAAAAGUAAAUGUAAAUGAUUGGUAAAACAUGAAUGUAAAUGUAAUGGUUUACUUGCGUUUGAUACAAAUGUAAUCAAAUGACUUGUAUGUUGAAUGCUUAGAUAGUUUCGAUGCUUUCACUUGUGGUUGUUGUUGUUUGCCCUCGUGCAAACCUUGUAUAUCUUGCAAUUUUUUUGUUGACUUGCUUGUAAUAUACAUGUUGUUGGAGCCUUGGGUGGACAGGGGAGGUGCUGUCCGUUCGGCGUCUGUCAUGUGCUCGAAUCCGAUCAAAUUGGCGGAGCUCGGGGCGUGACACAAAAUAUGGGAGUGAGGUUAACUUUAAUUUUUUUUUUUUCAAAAGCAAAUUAAUAUCAGUCGUUGGAUGCGAGAGUUGUAGGAUGUACAACCCAAUGUGGGUUGUACCAGUAGGAUAACUCUUUUUUUUUUUUUUUUUACAACAACACAGUUCCAAAAAAGGUACACCUACAAAACAAAACCAAAAGGGAUAGACACUAUCUACUGCUCCACGUCCUUUCCUUUCUCCGCCGCGUCCGGCUCUGAUGGACCUGAAAAACGAGAGUGUGAAAACUAUAUAAAUAUCAGCCGCGAACGAACCGGCCCCGCCGUAGGUGUUUCUAAGGCGAGUGGUCAUUCAUGGUAGAGAUUAAAUUUGUUUGAAUUUUAUUUUGAAAUCAGGAUUAUAGGUUCAUGGCUUCCAACAGACUCAAGAAUCUGCUGUUAAUUACCCCACACUUUCGGUGUUAAGGAACCCUCGAUUAAGAGACCAAAUAUAAAUGCUGAUAAUAAAGGAGACCAAACAGGCAAAUAAAAUUUUACUAAUAUGAUUUGCCGUGUACAUGGCUUAAGCAGGGGCAUACCCCCACUGUACAUAAAUUUUAUAAGAUUAGAUACUCAAUUUAGUGACUUGGUGUGUAGUGUAUCGGAUUUUUUUAGUAUAGAAGUACGUGUAAAUAAAAAAUAGUGUAAGAUACUAUUUUUUUAUUGGACUUAGUGAAGUUUCCUAUGUGUAAGUGAAGGGUUUACUUGGAGGUGAAGUUUCCUAUGUGUAAGUGAAGGGUUUACUUGGAGGUGAAGUUUUUUAUGUGUAAGUGAAAGGUUUACUUGGAGGUGAAGUUUCCUAUAUAUAUGAGGGACUUGAGCCUUUUCUCUCAUUCUCCACCACUUAAACCAAAAGAGAAACCUUCUCUUUCUCUCUCUAAACCUCUCUCUCCUAGAGUUUUGCUCCAAUAGUGGAGAUUUGGUGGAAGAAGCUUACUUGCAGGUGAAGCUUUCUUCUUCUUCACCAUUGGCUUGAAGAGAGCUUGGGUUUGCGUUGGAAGAAAUCGAUGGCCAUAAAAUGCGCUGCUAGGCUACCCGCUUCGUGUCGACGCCACGAGGUGGGGGGUUGUCACGCCCCGGGACCCAGCGGGAGCCCGCCCGGCGCGUGCCCAGACCCGCCAUAUGUCUACAACAUAUAAGGCGUCUAAAAACAACAAUAAUAACAGCAAUAAUAAAAGACAUCUAGAAGUAUCAGAGCAUAAUAAAUGUCUAAAUGCUACAACAAGGGAUAAGGAUAAAGCAGUAAAUCCAUUAAGUAAAACUUAGAGUAAGAACAAUAGAAAAUCCCAAAUACAAGAGCUAUUAGUAGGUACAUAGGUGGUCUCUAUACAUGGAUACAAAAUCUCUCACUCUCUCUCAACUACAAAAAGAAGGAGUAAACCACCUAGGCAAAGUACCGCUCCUCGCUAGCUAGCUAAGCGAUCCCCUUGCCGCGAUCCCGUGCCUCCGCCGGUGCCGAAGGCUCUGAAGAGGAAACAUAGAAACAGGGGCGUGAGAACUAUUAAAAAUAGUUCCCAGUGGGCAAUUACUGACUUCAGUGAAUGCACCACAAGGCCCAAAGCUACAGAAGAGGUUAGUGACCAAAAAUGUAGAAAAGCGAAAGGUAAGUAAAAUGUAACUUACUACUACAUGAUAUCUCUACUUAGCCUAAAUAGCAUAAGUAUGAAACAACCAUUCAUGAAGUAACAGUCUCCAACUAUCAUAAUGUCCACAAUGCGAAAUAGUAAAGUUCCGUUGUUUACUAUUCUAGUCAAUGUCCAAGUAA
Molecule: long non-coding RNA, 45819 nt
Filed under: Ananas comosus (pineapple)
Lineage: Eukaryota; Viridiplantae; Streptophyta; Magnoliopsida; Poales; Bromeliaceae
Description: long non-coding RNA (ACOM_LNC023338)
Source: RNAcentral